UACCAAGAAGCUUAAAUCUUCAAUAUCAAUCAAAAACCGUGAUAAUCAACCUCCAAAGUUAUUCAUUAAGUUAUAUCAAAAUAGUAAUAAUAAAUAAAUAUGUAAGCAGUUACAUUACAUUCAUGAUUUUUUACAAGUUAAAUUAUCACAAUCAUUGCCCAGACCACUUAUAAAUCACAUCUUCAAGUACAGAUCCAUCUGAAAGUACAACAAAUAUUAGCAAAAAUAAUAUCGAACAGCAAAUGAAUUAACAAAAUGGUAAAGAAAACUCAGUUAAAAGUGAUAAAUAUCACUUCAUCUUUCGAAGAAUUCCCAGAUCUAGCAUGAAAAACAAUUUUAGAUGAAAACUAUGCUUAUGGCCAAGUAAAUUAAUAGAUAAUGCAUAACUUUAGAAAUAUUACAUUAAAAAUACCUCACCAACAAAGAUCUCACAGAUCUGGUGUAGAUCAAAAUUAUACGAACAACAUACUAUGCAGCAAACAGUAAAUUAUUCGAUAGAAAUUAAAUUAAAAUACUGGAUAUUAUUUGAAACUACUUUCUUAAAUUAAAAAAAAUGGAUAUAAGAAAUAAAGGUGUAGAGCUCCCUUCAAUCCAAAGAAAGAUGACACCAGAAAGUGAUAAAGCUCCCUGGAUAUGGAAGCCACAAAACUACCACAUAACACACAAAAAUGGGUAGAAUUGAGGGAUCCAUAGCUAAGCAGCUCUAUCAACAUAGCAACAUCCAUAUUUGAACUAAAAGAAGCUCCACCCCUCAAAAAACCCUAACACCAAAAACUUCAACUUCAUUCAAAUAUAAAAGAAAAAAACUAUGAAAAAUAAGUGAAUCUAGUCAAAAUAAGCAAAAGUAGAAAAAGAUAAUGAGCUGCAAAAAAAUCUAGAGACUAGAUCUUGUUUUUCAGAUCUAUAAGGGAGUACCUUCUUCAAAUAGAUAAAAAGAAAAAAGAAAAGACCAGAGAGAAACUAACUCAACACCGAAAGAUGAGAACCCUAUCUUGGAAAGGCAUCCUUUAGUUCUCUUAAAUAAAGCAACUUGGACUGAAACGCAUCCCACUUUGCCACUUCAAUUACACUUUUUAUUUUUAAAUGAACUAAUAAAAAACCAAACCCUAUCUUGGAAAGGCAUCCUUUAGUUCUCUUAAAUAAAGCAACUUGGACUGAAACGCAUCCCACUUUGCCACUUCAAUUACACUUUUUAUUUUUAAAUGAACUAAUAAAAAACCCGUCUUUUUCUAUGGAAUAUAGUUUUGGAUUCUUAGUUAUUUGAAUACUAUUAUAAAAAUUGAAAAUCGACUAAAAAGAUCUUAUAAAUAAUAGUAAAUUUAAUUUGGAAGGACAAUUAAGAUAAAAAAACAAUAUUAAAAACAAUAUAAUUAAAAAUAAAAUUUAUUUUAGAUAAAUAAAUUAUUUAGUUUUUUUAAUAAAUUUUUAAAAUUUAAUUCAUUCCCUUUUAGUUUUCGCACUAUAUACUUGCGGUUUCAUUGGAGUGGAAGGUUACAAAAGAGAUACAACACAUCUAAUUUUAUUGAUCUUGAAAAUUUAAGGAUUUUUGGAUGUAUAUGUUAUGUGGAUAUAUCUAGUGAAGAUUUAUACAAAAUAAGUCGAAGAAGUGUGACUUCGUCAAUUAUGAAAAAUGUGUGAAUGAGUUCAAGGUAUGGGAUCCGAUUAAAAAGAAGAUGGUAAUAAAUGAAAUGUUGUUUUUAUGAACAAUUAAUUUUGAAGCAUGCAGUUGCAACAAAUGUGUCAACAUUUAAAAGACAAACUUCCAACAAACAAAGUAUUAGCACCCAAAGUGUCUUAAGUACUUCUAGGGGACCAUUUUUGGGUGCAAGUGUUUUAGUUGAAAAGAUGUUUGUUAAAAAUAUAGAAUUGAGGGAUGAGAAAAUAAUUCAAUUAUUAUAUUUUUGUGUUUGACAAGACCUUCGGUCUUAUGCCUACGUACCAACAUAAAAAUGAGGGAUCAAAACCUCGUAGUUCGUGGUAAAAUUUUUUAAAGAAAUUGGUGGAUUGAUUUUAACAAAAGCUUAAAGAUCUUUUGUUAUAAAUGGGAGAAUACUCAAUCAAACAUCCAUCGAUAAUGAAAGUUUUACAACAUUUAAAAGGGAGUGCUCCAACUUGGAUUCAAUAAAUAAGUAUGUCAAUAACCCCUAAUAAAUGGAAAGACUUAUAAUCAAUAUAUUAUGGAAUGGGAGAACUAUAUCUCAACCAAAGAUAACUCAAAUCUAAAUGCCCUCUUUUGAAAAAGUUAAAGCAAAAAGCACAAAAUGGUAAAAAGGAUUAGAUGAGGUUGUUAGUUCUUUUUGUCUUUUGAAAAUAAGGUCAAUAUGAUUAAGUUCAAUUUAUAAGUUUGAUUAAAAAAAUAAAAGUUUUGAAAAUCAAUGGCAUAAGGCCAAAGUUUCUACUCGUUAAAAUAAGCAUAAGUUGAAAACAAGACAAAGAAGGUUUUGAAAUGAGGGAGUGAUUUUAAAAUUUAAGAAGGAAUGGAGGAGAUGAAGGGACUAUCCUAGAUAGAAUUUUAAAAGGUUGGAGUUGAAAUGAUCUGACCAAUGGGAUGUAAUCCACAAGACAAGAAUGUCAAAUAGAAAGUUAUUUUCUUUGUACUAUUGAGCAAGCAACAAGCAUAACCAUCCAAGCAAUUAAUAUAAAGAUCAAAUGGCAUCAAAUAAAGAUAGUCAACAUCCAAGCAAGCACUCCAAAAGCAAGCAGACUUCAGUGUCUUUAAAUGUGUCAGAUGAAAUAUUCCUUGUGGCAAACUCAUAGAAACAACCAUCAGACAUGAACAAUAAGAUUAAGAUAACAACUUAAUCAUAGAGACAAAAUAAUAGAUAAACCAGUGAGGCUCUCAAGGCUUGUCUCAGAUGAAUGGCAUUGACCAAGCUAACUCAGUCUCAAAUAAUGGCAUUGACCAAGUCCUUCAAAGCAUUGGGAUGUUGCAUACUCUAAGUCUAAAAGUUCAAAUCAACAUAUUUUUUAGGAUUUUUGUUAUUAUUAGGUAUCUUAAGGUCCUAAGACCACAAACAAAAUAAAAUCACAAGUGCACAAUAUAUACAAGCACAAAGAUAUGGCUCAAAUGAGCAAAGUGAAAAUGACUGAAACAUAAACAUCUUAAAUGAAAUGUAAAUGAUAAUGACUGAUAAAUGUAUUGAAAUUUAAAUUGCAUUAAGCAAAUGACAUUAAAGAUAAAGCAAUAAUAAAUAAAUGUUAGUGAAGGAAAUCAUUGUUUAAGUCAUUCUUUGGAGAACACGCAACCAUCCACUCACAAGCAUGAAGACAUGAACCAAGACAUCAUCUAUGAGAAGGGCUCCAACUUGGAUAAAUUAACAAGUAUGCCCGUAGCACUCACAAAUGGAAAAAAGGUUAAUUCUUCACACAAUACCAUGAGGGAUGAGAGACUUACAAACUCACUUAUAAGAAUGUUAUGUCUUUGGGACAAAAUUUUGCUCUAUGUUAAGCAAUCGUAAUUGGACUUAUGUAAAAGACACAACUAUUUGAGGUCGGGCAAUAAAACAUUGAUGUUAAUGCAUGCUAGAGACAUGGUACAAAGAACCAAACUCCUAAAGCAUACCACCAAAAAAAUGGGAUGAACCUAUCUCUAUUAACCUCAUGUUGAUUCAUCUAACACAAAGUCAUUGAUGAAUCAACUAGCCUUUGAUUAUUUGAGAAGUCAUUGGUCAAUGAAGGAUUAAGGAAUGUGAGGGAUGAAGAUGAAGGGAGAUGGAAAUGGAAAUCCAAAUUGAUCAAGGGAGGGAUUUCAUCUGAUCAAUAUUAUCCAUUCAUUUUGAGGAAUGAAGUUUACACUUCAUCAACCCCCUAAAUCCAAUAAUGUUGAUCAAAUGGAAGUUCAAAUCAACCAUGAUCAAGGUCAAACAGAAGAUGAAACAACACAAAAUCAACCAAAUAGCUCAACAUAUUAUUUCAAUAAUUAAUGAAAUUAAAGUCAAUUUUAAAUGAAAGAUGAAACAACACAAAAUCAACCAAAUAGCUCAACAUAUUAUUUCAAUAAUUAAUGAAAUUAAAGUCAAUUUUAAAUGAAUAAAAAUGCAUUUUAAAAGGGUAAAAACCUCAAAUCCCUUCAAAUAACCAAAUAAAUGGCCAAGGGAUUUAUCCUAGGUCAAAGGACCUUAGACAAAAAUUUGGGAAUUUUUGGAAAGUCAGAAGUAUUUAAAAUUAAUUAAAAACAAGUCAAAAACUAAUAAAUUCACAAAAAAUAUAAAAUCUAAUCCAAAAAAUGAUUUUAAUUCAAAAUAUGAAAGAGGAAGUUAUUUAAAGAUUUUUGAUGAAAUUCCAAUAUUUUUUGGAUUAAAAAUGAAAUUAUUAUGAAUUUUAUAAAGAUAAGCUAAUUAAAAUAUUAAUCAUAAAAAUAAAGAAAAUAGAAAAAAUAAGGGUCAUCGGAUCUCCCUAAUUAAUUGAGGUGACAUAUCUGAUGGUCACGUGCAUGAAUUCCACGAUGGAUCAAAGUCAAAGCAUGCACAUGAAUGAUAAUCAGAACUAAGGGUCAAGAUUAUAACGUGGCAAAGGAUCAGAUGGUCUGGAUUGAUGUCAGCACUCCACCAGGGCCCUAGCUCUGGUCAUCUUCUCCAGUGACCUCCAUCGGACUGGUCCAACCAAAAAGUUCAUCAAAAACAAAGAUCCGCAUAUGGUUUUAAAGAGAAAAUCAAGGGGAGUACGAAUCUGACCUCCAUUUCUUCCAAUUCUCACUAUACAACGAGAUGUGUGGAAUUGAAAAAUGAGGUGGAUGAACUGGGUUGCUUCGAUUUAACCUCAAAGCAACUUAAUCUUGUUGCCUACAUUGGUAGGACUUCAGCUGACCAAAUAUUAAGUGAAAUGAUGGAGAAUUUAGGGAGAAUCGAAGAAGGAAAGAUUGAGAAAUUUCACCUUCUGUUUGCAAUGAUGAAGCUCGAUCUCAAUUCCAAUUCACUUGGUCCUGCUUCUACUUGCUUGCAGGAGAUGAUUUGAAUGCAAAAGGCUAUGAAUCCUUGGAGUUUCAGUUCCAAAACAGAAUGAGAACUAAAACUCGAUUUCAAAUGAAAUCCUCAAGGUAUUCUAUCAAUGGAGGUUUAGGGGAUUUGUAGAUCAAAGCUUGGUAAAGGUCUCACUUAUGAGGCAUUUUGGUAUGUAUUUUAUGCCUUAGUGAAAAAUUUACAAAAAAAAAAAUUUUCCAACACAUUCAAAAAUUGGUCAAAAUAGUAACUUGUGUGCAUGGGUGCAUGGGCAUGCAUUAAGGCUCAAAUGAUGAUUGCAAAAGGUCUAAAUUCAUGCACAUUUUAUGUUGAAAUCAUUUCAUGAAGCCAUGCAAUGUUGAUUGAAAGUUGAGUACAAAAUUUUCCAAAUAGGGUCAUGCAACCUACCCAUGUGUAAGUCCCUCAAAUUUAAUCCAAAUGUCAUAAUCUUUGACUCUUUGGAAAGUUAGCAUGAAGGGGAACAACUUUGAUGUUGAAACUUUUUCCAUUUGGAGAUUGGAUCAUGAUGAAUUUUGGUGUGGACCUUGAAACAAAAUUGAAGAGGAACUUAUUUAGGACAUUUGUCUCGAAAUGGAACUUAAAAAGCUUGUGAAAUGAGAAAGUUAUGCUUUUUGGAACUUGCCAUAGGCUAUUCUUGCCAAAAUGCGACCAACCAAUAUGACCUAAAAAUGUGAUUUUGAGAUUUCUUGAUUUUGAAGGAACAAUGCUAGAUGUUUUAAGCUCAUGUGAUCAUAUCAUAAUGUAAAGUUAAGCUUGGAGCUUUGUGGGAUAAUUUUAGGUCAAGUUCAUGGGUGAAUCAAAUGCCUUGAAAUUUCAAAAACCAUGACCAAACCAAGUACUUGUAACAUAAAUUGAAUGAGUGUUUGCAUUGUGAAUUGUGGUUUUAGUUGUCAUUAAGUGAUAUUGAAUGAAUGUUGGUAUGAUAGGGUGAUCAAAAUGAAGCAAGGUCAAUGAUCAAAGGAUGCCCGAACUAGGGUUUCUUGAACCACAAGCUUCAUCAAAAACCAUGGUCAGACAAAUUAGGGUUUGGUGAUGUAAAGGACAUAUUGAGAUGCUUCAAAGGUUUGAGUCAUGAAAAAAAAUUGGAUUUUAGGGGUCCUCAAUGACAUGGUCAAGAUCCAUAGUGAAUCAUGACUUGUACAAGCCAAUGAAGGUCGAGCUAGGGUUAGGGUCUUUGGGUGACCAUAUGAACUUGAUGUGUCUUAAAAGGGGGACUCACCAUCCAAUUAGGGUUUUGGAGAGUGAGUGAGAUGUCUUGAAUGAUCCUUCACGAUUUGUUGGAUGCUUGAGGAUAUAUAUUAGGGUUAAGGUGGCUUGGGCAUACCUCAACAUGAUCAGAGGGUCUUGAGGCUUCAUAGAUGAACCUCAUGCCUUGGGUUUGUGGAUUAUUAAAAGUCAUUAAAUACAAAUGCAUAUGAAAUGAUAUGUAUGGGGUGUAUGCUUAUGAAUAAUUAAGGUUUAAGGUGGUGAUGCGGAGGUAGAGUAAAUUUGAGGGUAUAGCCUAUUUGUUGGGAACUUUUAGUCCCAUAGGCAAAGUUAUAUUAAUCCUGGAUGAUUAGACUUUAAGUCCCUCAGGAUAAGCAAUGAAUCUAUCGGGAGAGACUUCUAUCAAGCCCCCCGACAAGAGUUUUAACUAGGUCUCUUAGGUGAGACUUCAGUCUCGCCUCUUUGGCGAGAUUCAUGUGUCAGAUCCCACCCGAGAAAACUCUAAGUCCCUCAGGCGAGGAUUUUAGAUAAAAUGUUUAUUAUGAACUCUUAGUCCCAUGAGCGAACUUAUAGUAAGCCUGGAUGAUGAGAUUGUAAGUCCCUCAGACGAGGCGUUGUACCUCUUGGGCGGGACAUUUAUCACACCCUCAAACAAUAAUUUUAACUAAGUAUUUUAGGAUAGACUUCAAUUGUACCUCUUUGGGUGAGAUUGCCCAAGGAAACUUUAAGUUCCCUAGAUGAUGAGCUUAGAUAGUUCAUUCAUAUUUCCCUAGAAAGCGAUAAGUAUAUUUGCCACGAAGUUCAACAUAUAAAGUAUUGACUUAAUAGGCGACAAAGAUCUUAUCCAUGAAGUCCAACAUAUAAAAUAUUAUCUUAAGAGGUGGCAAGGAUCUUCACCGUGAAAUCCAACAUACAAAACUGCCUUAAGAGGUGAAAAGGAUCUUCACCAUGAAGUCCAACAUACAGAGUAUUUCCUUAAGAGACUGCAAGGAUUUUCUCCACGAAGUCUAACAUAAGAAAUAUUUCCUUAAUAGGCAACAAUAAUCUUCACCGUGAAGUCCAACAUAAUAAAUAUAACCUUAAUAGGCAGUAAUGCUCUUUUCCAUGAAGUCCAACAUAUAAAUUAUUGCGUUAAGUUACGAUAAGGAUUUUCACCAUGAAAUCCAGAAUAAGAAAUAUUGUAUUAAGAGGUGGCAAGGAUCUUUGCCAUGAAGUCUAAUAUACAAAGUAUUUCCUUAAGAGGAGGAAAUAAUCUUUGCCAUGAAGUCCAACAUACAAAGUAUUUCCUUAAGAUGUAGUAAGGAUUUUUUCCAUGAAGUCUUACAUACAAAAUAUUUCCUUAAUAGGCGGAAAGGAUCUUCGUCAUGAAGUCAAACAUACAAAGUAUUACCUUAAGAGGCAAAAAUGGUCUCUCUUAGGGAUCUAGUAUUUUGAUCGCCUCUUAGGGUGAUCCUCUUUAGAGAUUUUAGGUUCCCUUCCCAAAAGGAAUAGCUAGCAAACAUAGAUUCUUGGGAAUAAAAUAGUGAGAGGCCUCUUUAAAAAACCCCGCCUUAUGCAAGGCACAGAGGGAAAAUAGUUCACCCCCUAAAACAAUAUUUCUUUUAAAACGAAAUAGAUAUAAUACUCGCCUAUCAAAAUUAAUACCAAAGUGAUAAACGAUAGUAAAGAAAGUAAACAAAUGACAGUAGGAAAAGUGGAGCUAGUGGGCAUUCCUUUUGGCCUUUAAAGCUUCGAUCUCCCCAGUAGCUUAGAACUCAGUGAGCCUACCUUUUACAGGCAGAACUAGUCUCUCUGCCUCCGGUGAAUCCUCCUGCAAUAGUUGAGCGUAUAGCGCAUAAAUUUGUCCUUCUCUCCCAUGGAAGUCUCCUUUGAUUUAUUGGGCAUAUGGCUUCUUGUGUCAUCUCACCCUCUCUAGUUGAACUUGGCUUCCCAUAAGAAGAUUCACCAUUCACAUACUUCUUCAGGUGUCCCUCCUGGAUCAACCUCUCAUUCUCUUUUUUGAGUUGGUAACAUUCCUCGGUGUGGUGUCCUUUGAAUCUAUGGAACUUGCACCAUUUACCUGGUUUGGGACCCAUCAUGUAUGCUUUUAGAAAUACAUGGGGCAUAAGGAUAUUGUGCAGGUGAAGAACCUCAUGUCAGGUCUGUUUAUGGCGAGUGUUCAUGGGCAUGAAUCUCUUUGCCAUCUUUCCUACUCUCUAUAACACAAUUGUGUCCUUGAUGGGAGAGGUGUAAUUACUCUUCUUUUGAUGGUGCAAACCAUCAACGUUAGGAGCAUAUUUUUUGACGUCUCUCACUUUCUUCUCAAUUUUGCUCUCCUCGCCCUUUAUGUAAUAUUAUACCUUGGUGGCCACCUUUACUAACAAGAGUGUUGGCUUUUAGGCGAGAGACUAUCCUCGCCCUUUAUGUAAUAUUAUACCUUGGUGGCCACCUUUACUAACAAGAGUGUUGGCUUUUAGGCGAGAGACUCAUUAAAGUGUCCCGCCUUAAGUCUAUUUUGGAACACCCUCACAAAAAUUUAUUGGUUUGGUGGGACAAUCUUGGUGGUGGAUUCACUGAACUUGGAGAGAUAGUCCCCUAACAACUUCGAUGGACCCUGUUAUUUUGUUGAACAGUUUGGUAGUGUAAAUUUUCCAAUGUCAACUAGUAGUAAACUGGUGUAUGAGUUUCCUCACUAGCUCCUGAUAAUUGGCGAUGGAAGUUAGGGGUAUACCAUAUACAAUUGUAGGUCAACAUCCCUGAAGGUGUCAAACAGUAAUUUGCAUUACAAGGAGUGGGGCACUCUAGUGAUGACCAUAUGUGUGUUGAUUGAGGUGACUGAAGGAGAAUUGCCAUCCAAGGCGCAGCGAAAUUUAAAAAAUUUCUCCAUUUAGUGAUCCUUACGAAUGGGCAUGAUCAAUGAUAGAAUUAUUACCUCUUGUGGCGAUUCAAACCUCUGGUGCAGAUUUCUGAUAAUGAUCAAAACCUUUGAUACAGAUCCACGGGGCGAUCACGAACGUUGAACGAUGACAACGUCUCUACUCAGUCCACACGAACGGAUUCCUUCAAUCGCAGUGCUAGCUGUUAUGAAUGAAGGCUUUGAGUGAGAGAGAGAUACGAAAUUCCAACUCUUCAGUUGUGUUUUCUGUCUCAGUGAGUUCAUAUGCUUCUACCCAAGGGGUUCUAUUUAUAGAACCACUUGUGUGGGCUUCAAGCCAAAAAGCCCACUUAAGUGCAUUUUGGCCCAUAUCUCACCCUUGAUUCUAUUUAUAAAAUCAUGUUAUUCAGUACAUCUUUGUGUUCAUUUUCAUUUUAUUGUUUUGUUUGCAAAAAUGACGUCCGAAUUUUUGGUAAACAUUACAUCAUGAAACAUAAGAGCUUUACAGGUACGUGCUCAAUAAACAUUGAAAAUUGCUGUAAAUUUUAAGCGCUUGGGAUCGUCUAUUCAGAACAGGUACACUCGGGGCAUUUCCUUAAGGUCCCCAUCAAAUGAUCGUUGAUGUUUUUCCUCAACAGUUGGAAUUUGGUAUCUUAUCCCUGCAGAGUUGGUCCGAGCGUUGGAUUCUUCAAUCCCCAACAGGCUCUCACUGCUGUACUUCCCCAAGCAUUUGUUUCAGAUUAUACAUUCACCAGUAGAGUCGACAGUGUCAGACUGUAUAUCACCAGCGAAGUUGACAGUGACAAACUGUAUCUUCCCAACAAAAGUGGCUGCUCCUCAGAGUUCAAUGCCAGAUCGAUGAUCUCGACGUUAGACCCACGACCUCUUUCCUUGAAGCAGAAUCUCGGUACCGUAUCGGUGUUUGCUUCCCCUGCUGAGUCGUCUCUCUCGCAGAUUAUGGUUGCCAGAACCACUAUCGCUUUCCUCAACAACAAGUUUUCAGUGCCGUUCUCUCCUCAGUCAGAGCCUCAGUAUUUUGUUAUUUGCCCGAACACCGUAUGGCGGAUCAUUUCCCCAGCAGAAUUCUUUGCCUCGGCUUGGCAUUCUAUCUAAUCAAGCAUUUCACAUCCCUGCAUGUAGAAUCAUAUUGCAUUGCAUCCUCCCAAAUUGCGUAGCAUUUCCAUUUUCAUGGAGCAUUACGCCAUUGAAAAAUUCAAACAUACGCAUGUAAAGCAUAAGGCACUCUCGGUAUCCCAAGUGACAAGCCAGAAGUUGUUUCCAGUACUCAGACUGAAGAUUGUUCAUGACUUAUCUUUAUUAUUCCCAACAGGGGUCGUUGGCCCACGCGCAGCCUCAAUUAUCAUUUUCCCUAUUUCUGCCGAUGCUGAUAGGCAUGAAAGUUUCUGGUAUUCAGACCGAAGUGGCAUUUAGGCCAGUUUUCCGAUGUUCAGAUCGAAGAAGUUUCCGACGUUCAAGUCGAUGCAACUUGUGGCAUUCAGGCCAGGUUCCCGGUAUUCAGACCGAAGUGGCAUUCAAGCUAGUUUUCCGAUUUCAGAUCGAAGAAGUUUCCGACGUUCAGGUCGAUGCAACUUGUGGCAUUCAGGCCAAGUUCCCGGUAUUCAGACCGAAGUGACAUUCAGGUCAGUUUUCCGAUGUUCAGAUCGAAGAAGUUUCCGACGUUCAGGUCGAUGCAACUUGUGGCAUUCAGGCCAGGUUCCCGGUAUUCAGACCAAAGUGGCAUUCAGGCCAGUUUUCCGAUGUUCAAAUCGAAGAAGUUUCCGACGUUCAUUCAGGCCAAGUUCCCGGUAUCCAGACCGAAGUGGCAUUCAGGCCAGUUUUCCGAUGUUCAGAUCGAAGAAGUUUCUGACGUUCAUUCAGGCCAAGUUCCCGGUAUUCAGACCGAAGUGGAAUUCAGGCCAGUUUUCCGAUGUUCGGAUCGAAGAAGUUUCUGACGUUCAGGUCGACGCAACUUGUGGCAUUCAGGCCAGUUUUACGGUAUUCAGAUCGAAGUGGCGCUCAGGCCAGUUUCCCGAUGUUCAGACCGAUGUUUGAUAAUCUAAUAUCUUCCAAUGCUCAAAUCGAAGUCAUUUCCAGUAUUCAGACUGAUGAGCGGCAUUCAGGCCAUGGUUAUUUCUGUGUUACCAUUUAUUUUGGUAUCCAGGUUAACAUUCUUUUUCGGUAUUCAGACCGACUCUCACAACUGAUGAGCGGCAUUCAGGCCAUGGUUAUUUCUGUGUUACCAUUUAUUUUGGUAUCCAGGUUAACAUUCUUUUUCGGUAUUCAGACCGACUCUCACCGUACCAGACGGAUUCUUCUUUCAAGACCAUUUAUUUGCCGAUUCUGACAGGCAUCGUUACUUCACUUCACUUCAGUGUAAAUUUUCAGGCUUUUAUUGUAUUCAAUUCCCUGAUACCUCGAAAGUGCGAAAGUCGCUGCUAUCUUCUUUUCGGGUCUCUAGUUGAUUGAAUAGGGGCAGCUGUAGCACCUCAAAUUUGCCCCCCUCAUUCAUGCAUUCAUUUUUUGGUCAUUUAACAUUUCAUAUUGCAUUUCAUCAUGUCAAUCAGAAUUAGAUCCAAGAAGCUUGAAUAUCAUCCAAGACACUUUGUGGGUUCUAUCGGGGUGAUCAGCCAACACAAGGGAAUGAUUUGAGUUACUUCCAACAUGUUCAAAUGGGGUCUAUUCAUCAUUCAAAACGCUAAUCUUGAAGGAGCAAAAGUCUGUUCUUGAGCUGUCAUGCUCGCUAGGCGAGCAGCGUGGUUCGCCUAGCGAGUCUGAACUGUCAUGUUCGCUAGGCGAGCAAAUUCUUCGCUAGGAGAGCAAAUUCUUCGCUAGGCGAAGCGCACGCGUUUUAAAAAUAAAAAAUAUACAGCAGAAAAAAUCUUGGACUUUGACCUCUCUCAUUUGAGCCCACCAAGCCACGAAAAUCAGGUUAUAAAUUCUAAAAAUUCAGUGGAAAAACCCUAGAGAGAGAGAGAGAGGAGAAGAGCUAACAGAAUUCAGAGCAGCCUCCAGAGACACUGAAGAAAAAAAACUCCUUUGCACAGGAUCACCUCUACCAAUUCCAUCUCAUACAAACCCUAAGAUUGCUUUGCAAACCCAACCGGGCAAUUCAAUUUCAUUCGAUCUCUCCGAUCAGGUUUGCCCUAUUUCCAUCACUUUAUGCUUUCAAUCUGAAAUUUCUAAAUGUAUAAGGCAUUAUGGGUGAAUUUGGAAGAGUGGGUAUCGUUAGGUUUUGCACACGGGUUUAGAUAUGCAUGAAUGUGUAAAACAAUACCUUGAAUGUUUAAUCGUUUAAUUUCUGAAAUGUGUACCAUAGGGUUUGGGGUUACUGAAAUCAUACUGUUAUCAAAGAAGAACCUAGAACCCGCAGGCAUUCGCUAGCACCUCGCUAAGCGAACAUGUAGCGACGCUUCGCUAGCACCUCGCUAAGCGAAGCAGUAACGAUGAUGACAGUAACUGUUUUUUCUGUUGGCUCUCUAACCUGUUUUGUGACAUGUUUUCUAUUGCAUCCGGGCACUGUUUACCUGACAUUGUUGUUGCUAUGAUUCUUUUGUUUGAUGCAACUCUCGAUUGCACCCCAUCUUGUUACUCUAACUUGUUUGUUGAGUUUUUGUGAGAGCUCCCAUAACUCCUAAAGAGAUAGCUUGCUUGGUAUUCCGCUUUAUUUGUGGGAUACCAUUGUGGAGAAUUAUUCUGAUUGCUUUGCUGACGUGCUUUCUUUGAUGAUGCUAGCUUGAGAGAUCACCGGGUUUCUUGCUUCUCUAGUUGUUAUUACUUCGGAUUUUUAUCCGUGUGGUAGAUCUCCUGAUCUCUUUAUCUUUCUCGCAUUUUACCGCUUUCUUAGCUGGAAGACCUCGAUAGGAGGCGAUGUUUUUUGUGUGUUUACUUUUGUGCCCAAAGACCUCCAAGAAGAGGCACCAAUGCUAAAGACCUCCACGAAGAGGCAAUUGACGGAUAUAAGGGAUUAGUAGUCAAUCCCCCGUUAUUCAGUGUGUCGUUCUUUAUGCUCGCACUAUGUGUCGAUGCUUCAAAACAAAAGCCCAAGAUCUUUUGUCCGGUCAGUCAGUGGAGAGGGUUCCACCUUUCUGAAUCCCCACUUUUUGUCAUGAGCUCACUCUGUCCAAGGUUAAGAGCUAUGAGGUCUUAUCCUCAUUACCCUUUCGAUCUGCUCACCCUGACGUUCGGUGUCAGUGGUUAAGAGCCCGUUUGAUUACCCUUCCAUGGCUUGUUUGUCGAGGUUGAUAUGACCCCUCUUGACUAAAGCCCUACCCAUGUAUGCUUGAGCCCCCUUGUUGGCGCGUUUACUUUAUGCAUGUUUGUUUUGUAUGGUGUGAUCGUCUCCCCAUAGGAUUUCUAGGCUACAUAUAGUCUCUCAUUUGCAUGUUAAUCAAGGUAGCACGGUUCCUUCGUCUAGGACUUCCUUUUUGCAUGAGCACUCCUAAAACACAAACAAACUCAUUGAUUUUUCUUCUCCUAAGAACACGUUAACUCCUUCUACUACAGGCGAGUAAGUCUCCAAAGGUCUAGCAUCCGGUAGAUUGCAUAGUAACGUUGUUCACCCUAAAAAAAACACAAAACAAACAAAUAGGUCAGCCGAGCUACGAAGACUCUGAUUCUCAUAUUCAGAAGAGAUACGUAUGUAGUGGAUGCGACAUCCGUGCGAGUCAUUUUCUUUUGACCCCUCUUUUAGUAAAUAGUACAUUAGAUAAACCCACACCCUUUGGACAAGAACAACAAGAGUGGAUCCCGUAGAGUACUACGGAUGCGUAGGGGUGCCUAAUACCUUCCUUCGAUCUCGAACUCCCGAACCCAAGAUUUGGUUGCGAGACCUUGUCUUUUCCUUUCCUUUUUCCAAGUUUACUUCGAGCGUUUCCUUUCCCUCCUUUGGGAUAAAUAACGCACGGUGGCGACUCUUCUGUCAUUUUCUUUCCUUUGUUAUCGGUUGUUCCGUUUCGCAUUUAGGUUGCGACAGCUAGCGAAUCUGCUGGGGACCCGGUUUCCCUAAGCGAGUCCCUCCUAGCUUUUGUAGGUUUCUUGUUUGUUGGGUGUUUAUUCUUUUGCACAGUUAUUUAUUUUUCAGCAUUUACCUGCUUUACCUUAUUGCAUUCAUGUACAUAUGAUUUGCUGAAUCUGUUGGAUUCUGUGGGUUGUUUGUUUGUUGGGGUGGGAUGUUCUAUGAGAAAUAAGCCCACUACCCAGGCUUGAGUCUACACAUAGGUUUUAGAGUGGAUAGUCAUGAGGCUUGCGUGGCAUGUUGCUACAUUAAGUCGUUCGUGAGACCCACAUCCAGACGAGGUUUCUUUUGGAUAUAUUCUGUCCUAUGGGUGUUCCAUAACGACAGAUAUUCCUUUAGAAAUCGUUGACUCUGGUGACCAUUUCCCGAGAACUCAGUCGAGGCCUCUCCUCUGAGACGCGUUUAUGUUAGCUCUGGUGGGCGCAUUCUCGCUGCUCAAUCCGAGGACCCCGAGGCUGGGAACUUGCUUUAGGAUAUCCUGUUGAGGGGAGUCAGUGGAGGCUUUUUAUCCCGUAAUAAUGCCAAACCUUCAGUGGUAAACGUAUUAUUCUCGACUGAAGGGCCGAAGUUGACGAACUUCUGUUCUUAGAACCUACCAGUGAGGGGCGGGCUAAAUUCAGGAAACCUUACCGUAAUAAUGCCAAACCUUCAGUGGUAAACGUAUUAUUCUCGACUGAAGGGCCGAAGUUGACGAACUUCUGUUCUUAGAACCUACCAGUGAGGGGCGGGCUAAAUUCAGGAAACCUUAACCUUCAAUCAACCCGGUUUUCUGGUAUUCUUGUUGGAGUAGAGCUUUGAUCUUGUAUUAUAUUCCUUAGUGGGUUUCUCUUCAAACAGUGCAACCUGACAGUUGUCCAAGCGGAUGCAGCAGUCCUGAUUUCCAUGUCACUGCAUUGCAUCACAUCAUUUUGCAUUCAUAUCAUUUAACACAUGUUUAUCCGUUUCUAGGGUUUUAUAUCUUCUUCUUGAUUCCGGUCGGGGUUUUCUGGUUCUCCUAAGAUGGACAUUGGUAGAAAGAGACAUGUCGCCUACAAGUUUCCUGUGGUUUGCUUGGAUCCCAUUCAGCAGCUAAUGAAGUUAAUGGAUCAUGAUUCUCUAGAAAGAUUCCGGAAGGAUUACGGGCUGAUCCUAAGUUUCGUCACGGUUCUCUCCAAAGAUCAACAUGACGCUCUCUUUACAUUGUUGCAGUUCUAUGACCCUCCAUUGAGGUGUUUCACGUUCCUAGAUUAUAUUUUGGUCCCUACUUUGGAGGAGGUUGCUAGUUUUCUCAGAGUUCCUAUCAAGCCGCAGUUGCUAUUCUACAGUUCCGAGUUUCUGCCCGAUCUCAACAUGGUUGCUUCAGCCACAUAUUUGGGGAAAUCAGUCUUUGAAGGCUAUAUGUGUCAGAAGGGAGAAGUUAAUGGUUUUCAUCUGGAGUUCUUACUGGGGAAGCAAGAGAAGCUUGAAGAUGGGUGACCAGAGGGGUUUCAACGCUGUGUUGGCUCUUUGUGUGUAUGGGAUUGUCCUGUCCUAAUGUGGCAUUUGUGGACGUAGAUGCCAUACGCCUCUUCGUGUUGGGAAAUCCGGUGGCCGACCUUGUUGGGAUUUCUUUUCAUUCAGUGCAUCACAGGAAUGAGAAUAGAGGGAGAUUGGUGAAUUGUUGUGCGCUUUUUUUAUAAGUGUUCAGUUCUCACCUACCCAAGUCAGAGCGUUGUUGAUGUCAAGAACUCGUUGAGUUGGUCAAAGAGACUGAUGGGAUAAGAGCAAUAAGAUAUUUCUGGUGGUCAGACCGGAGGUUGCUUCGGGCAGAUAUUAUUCAUAGUUGUGGGAACUUCCCGAAUUACCAUUGGUAGGAAAGAGGAAGUAUCAACUACAAUCCUGCUCUGGCAGCCAGACAGUUCGGAUAUGCUUUAAGAACUCCGCUUUGGAAAGAUUGUGGAAGAAUUUCUGUUUUUCCAUUCUUCAUCUGAUAUGACUAUAUCCGUAAGGCAACUGAGGCUUGGUUCAAGGUGAUCAGAGAGGAAGAACUGUGCUUGGAAAGGAGAUUGUAGAACUUACCCUCAGUAUAGAGAUGGCUUCAGAAGAGUCGAGAGUUUGUCGGCCCAUUUCUAUUGAGAACCUCUGUAUCCCUACCCUGACAAGUCAAAACGGUGAGCGACGAGGAAGUAUGCCACAAAUGAAGAUGCAUGGAGCAGCUUCAAACUGAAAAUCGGAGUUAAGUGUAAGCUGCAGCUGUAUGCAUCAUUCCUGAGGCGGAAUAUAGAAGGGGGAAGCGAGUUCAGCGGAAGCAGCAGAGGAAUAUGUUGUGAGGUGGACUUUCACGGGAGACAGAACAAAGCCUGCAUCAUCCAGUUUGACUUGGGCGAGUCACAGCAGUUAAAAUGCUCAUGGUAAUGUUAGCUGGUUGGCAAGCGCAAUGGAUACAUUUUCAGCUUGUCAGAAAGGUAAAGAGGAGGAAUAGUGGCGAAUUGAUAGUAGCAGAUGGAGAAGUUGAACGAUUUUGUUGAAGGAGAGACAAUGAGCUUCUGUGCGCCAGGUUCAACCAAUGAUUUAUCACAGAUCAACUCAACAAAGUCAAGACAGUAUCUGACGAACUCAAAGUGCUCGGCAGGUUUGAAGCAAUCAGACUUUGAAGAGGUAUUCGAGAGAUGAUGAAAUUCUACAGAGACACAUCACAGUUGGAUGAGUUAUCACAAGGAAUCUGCUUAUCCGGCGUUUGCAGAAUCUCUAGAUCAUCCUGACAGUGCAUACUGGCUGAAGGCAGGUAGCAGUCCUUAUGGGUUGUAUACAGGGGCUGAUUCUAUUUUUUGUUCCUCUCUUACUUAUUUGAUUAGUGAUGAUCCACAGGCUGUUGUGGAGAUCCUUUUUUUGAUGUUACUGUUGCCUAAGCCUUCCUUCAUAUAUGUUCCUUAUUGCAUCUUGAUCUCAAAGUUUAUCCACAAACUCGGUUUCUUGCGCUUUCUGUCUCGAUGUGAGACUGGAUCAAGGGGGUAGAAUACCGUCGUUGGACAUUUUGAUAAACAUGUCAUUGCAUUUACAUAUUCAUUAAAAUGUCUUGCAUAAGCAGGUACCGCUGCGGUGUUCUCAUAUUAUUUGUGUUCCACCUCGUAGGAUAGCUGACGGGAAAUUCACCGUACGGUACCCGCAGAACACUAGAGCAGCAUGGAAAGCCUACAAGCAGAGCCUCGCCGAGAUGAGGAUCCGCAUGACCCAAUUCAUGGAUGUGGUUCAAGGGGUGGCUCAGGGACAACAAGAGCUCAGGCAGAUGAUGCAGAGGAAUCCCGCCGUUACUCAACCAGAGAUGUUGACUGAUCCUCCAGCUGGAGAGGUUAACGGACCCAGUGGACCGGGGCCUACCCCGAUCCCGCAUGUCAACUCCGGUCAACAGCCCGUCCAUGAUGAUCAGGACGACCAGUUCACCCAGAUGCAGGAAGACUUUGGCAUAGGCCAUGGCAUGGACCCCAUGUUUAGAAGGUUAGAGGAGAGUCUGAAGGCAGUGGAAGGACAAAAUCUUCUGGGAGUAGACGUUGCUGACUUGGGAUUGGUCCCAGACGUGAGGGUGCCACCGAAAUUCAAGGUCCCGAUAUUUGACAAAUACAGUGGCAACUCUUGCCCAAAGACUCAGGUGCAAGCCUAUUUCCGUAAAAUGGUUGCAUACUCUGACAAUGAAAAGUUGCUUAUGUACUUUUUCCAGGAUAACCUAGCUGGGGCAUCCUUGGAAUGGUAUAUGAGGCUGGACAGAGCCCACAUCCGCUGCUGGAGGGAUUUGGCUGAGGCUUUCGUGAAGCAGUAUCAGUAUAAUGCCGACAUGGCUCCGGACAGAACUCAACUUCAAAAUCUGUCUCUUAAAAGCAAUGAGUGCUUCAGGGAAUACACUCAACGCUGGAGGGAGACAACUUCUCGUGUUCAACCUCCUAUGUUGGAGAAGGAAAUGGCUAACAUGUUCAUGAACACUCUUCCUGGACCUUACUUGGAACGCCUGGUGGGUUGCAAUGCCUCCAACUUUGCUGAUGUAGUCUCUACCGGCGAGAGGGUGGAGAACUAUUUGAAGACAUGCAAGAUCUAGAGUGGAGGUGGAUCUUCAUCAGGGGUGAAGAAGUCGUUCAUUCAGGGACAGAAGAGGAGAGAAGGGGAUGCAAAUGCCAUAUCUUCUUAUCAGAAAAGGGGUAACCGGAGGAAUAGCUUUCAGAACUAUCAUCAACCACCGUAUGUUGCGGCUGUGACCAUUCCGGCUGCAGCACCACUACAACAACAACAACCGCAACGUCAGCAAACUCAGUACCAACAACAACAACCGGGUAACAAACCCGCCUAUCAACAGAGGCAAAGGAUGAUGGACCAACGUUUCGACACUCUUUCAAUGUCGUACGCUCAGUUGCUUUCUAGUCUUCAACAACUACAACUUAUGCAGUUACGCACUCUGGCUCCUCCUGUUGGUAGGCUUCUGGUGGGUUACGACGCCAACGCUAGGUGUAGCUUCCACUCUGGGGCACCUGGCCACAAUAUUGAAAACUGCAAAGCUUUUAAGCAUGUAGUUCAGGACCUCAUAGAUUCAAAGGCCAUCAACCUUGCACCGGCUCCUAAUGUCGUCAACAAUCCCAUGCCACAUUAUGGUAGUGCGAAUGUUAAUAUGAUGGAAGGGGAAGCCAGAUCUGUAAAAGAUGUGUUGAAGUUAAGGACUCCGUUGUUGGAUAUCAAAGGCUACUUGUUGAAGGCCGAUGUUUUCCCUGGUUGUGGGAAGGGUUGUGUGGAUUGUGCUACUCAGAGUGGAGCCUGUUUGAAGCUACAACAUGGUAUCCAGGCCUUGCUCGACGAAGGUACCCUCCAGGUUAAAGAUUUGUCUGUCCAAGAGUCUGUGGAAGGGGUUGAGGAAGAGGGGUUUGAGGAUGCUACUGAUGAAUUCACAUAUGUUGUUCCUACUGGUUCUGUAAGCCAUGAUGAUGUAUUUAAUUUUUCCAAUGUUGUUGCUGAUAUCCCAAACAAUAUGUUUGAUUCUAAUGUAAUUGAACUUGAUUCCGAUGUUUCGGAUGUUUAUGUUUCAAUGAAUGAGAUUUCAGAGUAUGACUAUGAUGUUGCUACUAUCACCAUUUUCUACCCAACUAAUCAGAUCAAUGUACCAGAAGCGCAAUCGGAUGUUUAUGUUUCAAUGAAUGAGAUUUCAGAGUAUGACUAUGAUGUUGCUACUAUCACCAUUUUCUACCCAACUAAUCAGAUCAAUGUACCAGAAGCGCAACCGGUGCCACCAGCGCGACCGUCCGCUAUGACUAUCACAACCCCUGGUCCUUUACCUUUCACCAGCGAAAGGGCCAUUCCUUGGGAUUAUGGGGGGAGUGUGUACGCGCACGAUCAUGGGAUAGAACGGCCACUGAAGGUAGAAGAGGGUCAGAAGAUUGAACUUGAAGUUGAAGGUCCCGCAGUGGACAAUGUUGGUGGAAUCGGGCGAUUCACCAAGAGUGGUAGACUGUUCUCACCACCCGUUACCCAAGCUGAUAGUGCUGACGCUGCGACGAAAGCCAAAGGCAAGCAAGUCGUGAAUGAGGGUGCCUCUGCACCCCAGGCUGGUUCUGAGCCCACUUUUGCGAAGGAUGUGGACGAGCUUUUGAGAAUUAUAAAGAAAAGUGACUACAAGGUAGUCGAUCAGUUGAUUCAGACUCCGUCCAAGAUAUCCAUUCUCUCACUCCUAUUGUGUUCGGAGGCGCACAGGGAGGCACUGCUGAAAGUCCUAAAUGCUGCAUAUGUGCCUCAGGAGAUCUCAGUGAACCAACUGGAAGGAAUCGUUGCAAAUGUUCAUGCAAGCAACGGGUUAGGUUUUACUGAUUCUAACUUAACACCAGCUGGACGCAACCAUAACAAAGAUUUGCACAUCUCGAUGGAAUGCAAAGACACCGUGUUAUAUCAUGUUCUGGUGGAUACAGGUUCCUCUCUCAAUGUGCUACCCAAGAGAGCCCUUGUUGGUGUAAGCCCUAGAGGCCAAUAAUUUUUGGUACUUGUAUCGAAUUAUUUAUUAAUAAUAAAAGGCAUUUUCUUUAUUAUGGUUGAUUAAUAAAGUCCCUAGAAUAGAUAGUCCGUUUAAUGUAUUAAGUGUGACUUAAUCAUGAGAACACAUUAAACAUAAGGACACUAUUCUUAAAGUAUCCGUAGUCGAGCUUUAAAUGUGAAGUGGGAUAACAUUAAAGCAUUAAGACUAUUAUGUUUGUAGACUGAUGAUCACAUCUCAUGGAUCAUGGAUAAAGAGUUAUCAAGUCUUAAACAUAGGUAUGAAUAUUAGGAGUAAUAUUUAUACCGGAUUGACCCGCUAUGAGAAUACUAUAUAGAAAGUUAUGCAAAGUGUCAUAAGUUAUUCUCAUGGUGAUAAUAGUGUAUACCACUCUUCGACCUGAAACCACUAUGGAUCCUAGAUGUAGAGUCGAGUGCUUUAUUGCUGAUCCAACGUUGUCCGUAACUGGAUAACCAUAAAGACAGUUGAUGGGUACUCCACGAAGCAUGCUGAGGGACAUGAGUGUCCUAGAUGGAAUUUGCCAAUCCUGCGUAACAGGAUAAAUGUCUAUGGGCCCAAUAUUGAACUGGACAAGGGUGACACGGUCUAUACCUUGUGUUCAAUAUAGACAUAAGGGCAAAGGGGUAAUUAUACACAUAAUUAUUAUCACAGGAGGUUUUGUCAGAUCACAUGACAUUUUCGUGACUUGGGUAGCAGUGAUGUGUUGCUAGAUACCGCUCACUGUUUAUUAUGUUAAAUGCGUGAUUUAAUAUAAUUGCCAACGCCACGAAAACCUAUAGGGUCACACACAAAGGACGGAUUGAUGAGAGAUAGAGUAACUAAGGAACACCGUAAGGUACGGUGCACUUAAGUGAAUUGUAGAACAUCGUAAGGUAUGGUGUACUUAAGUAGAAUACGAAAUAUGGUAAGGUACCAAAUACUUAAGUGAUUUUGGCAUAUUAUGAGAUAUAGGCCAAAAUGCACUUAAGUGGGCUUUUUGGCUUGAAGCCCACACAAGUGGUUCUAUAAAUAGAACCCCUUGGGUAGAAGCAUUAACACUCCAGACAACACAACUGAAGAGUUGGAAUUUCGUAUCUCUCUCUCUCACUCAAAGCCUUCACUCACAAACAGCUAGCACUGCGAUUGAAGGAAUCCGUUCGUGUGGACUGAGUAGAGACGUUGUCAUCGUUCAACGUUCGUGAUCGCCCCGUGGAUCUGUAUCAAAGGUUGAUCAUUGUCAGAAAUCUGCACCAAAGGUUUGAAUCUCCACAAGAGGUAACGAUUCUAUCACUGAUCAUGCUCAUUCGUAAGGAUCAUUAAAGGAGAAAUUUUUAUAUUCCGCUGCGCCUUGGAUGGCUAUUCUCCUUCAGCCCUGUCAAGGUUAGAAGUGGAGGGUUUGGUCCUGAAGCCUUCAGAUCUUAUUGUGAGAGCCUUUGAUGGUUCUAAGAGGUCGGUGUUCGGAGAGGUAGAAUUACCAAUUCAGAUUGGAUCACAAACCUUCAACACCGUCUUCUAUGUGAUGGAUAUCAGUCCUUCCUAUAGUUGCCUGCUGGGUCGUCCUUGGAUCCACAACGCUAGGGCAGUCUCUUCAACUUUACAUAAGAAGAUUAAAUUCCCAGUCAAUGGAAGGAUUAUCACCGUCUGUGGUGAGGAGGAUAUUCUGGUUAGUAACCUGUCUACAUUCAAGUAUGUAGAGGUAGAAGGUGAAUUUCAUGAGACCCUAUGUCAGGCCUUUGAGGCAGUUCAGAUCAAGGACGCAGCUCCGGUGGAAGAAGUUUUAAAGCGGGUGCCAUCUAUCUCUCUUCAAGCAGGCAAGACCUUGGGUAGAUUCCGGGUGUUGCCCCGGAUUGGGACGUCUGGUUUUGAGUUCACCAAUGAAAAGAAGACCAAGUUCGGGAUUGGGUAUCAGCCCAACUCUGACUUCUACAACUUCAACACUUCAGGACUGUCAGGGGCCGAUUACUUUCUCCAGCCGCUGCGUCAUCCAUAUGGCCAAGGUCUCUGCGCGUCAACGCAUGAAGGAUGGCAGAUAGUGAUUGCGACAUCGAUAACUGGGUGCGUCCGAGGAUCCCGGGUGAAGUCAUCAACAAUUGGUCUUCUGAGGAGAUUGUCCAAGUCACUUUUCUGGAGGAGUAAUUUUUCUUGCUUAUUCAUGCAUGUCUAAGUCUUACGUCCCGCCCAGGGCGUAAUGACUCAUUGUAGGGCUCAUCUAUGUGAAUGCCUGCAUUUUUAUCAUAAAUAAAGGACGUCUUUUUGCAUUCAAAAUUUUGUUCACUGUCUUUCCAUUUUUGCAGUUUUCAAAAAUAAAAAAAAAUAUCUGGCAAUGUUUUGUUUAGUUUUCACUUUUUUCACACUCAUAAGCACAUACCAUCACUCAUGCAGAUGCACAUCACUGGAUCCUGUUGAUAACAGUUCUGCUAUGGCUCGCUUCGACUUGGAAAAUCCGAUCUUUCAAACUGAAGAAGAGGGUGAUGGAGACUGUGAACUCCCUGAAGAAAUUGCCAGGCUAUUAAAGCAAGAGGAAAGGGUCAUUCAACCGCAUCAAGAGUCUACUGAAGUGAUUAAUCUUGGCACCGAGGAUGUUAAGAAAGAAAUCAAGAUAUGGGCUGCUUUGGAAGACGAUGUGAAGAAGGGGUUGAUUGAAUUACUGCAAGAGUAUGUUGACAUCUUCGCCUGGUCUUAUUAGGACAUGCCCGGGCUUGACACAGACAUCGUGGUGCACCGCUUGCCUCUCAAAGAAGGUUGUCCUCCGGUCAAGCAGAAGCUUAGAAGAACAAGACCAGAGAUGGCUGUCAAGAUAAAGGAAGAAGUGCAAAAACAGUUGGAUGCAGGGUUUCUAGCAGUCACCAAUUAUCCGCCAUGGGUUGCAAACAUCGUUCCAGUAACUAAGAAGGAUGGAAAGGUACAGAUGUGUGUCAACUACCGGGAUCUGAGCAGAGCUAGCCCUAAGGAUGAUUUCUCAUUACCUCACAUCGACGUUUUUGUGGAUAACACGGCUCAGUUCUCGGUAUUCUCCUUCAUGGAUGGCUUUUCGGGCUAUAAUCAAAUCAAGAUGGCACCAGAAGAUAUGGAGAACACAACUUUCAUAACCCCAUGGGGCACCUCCUGCUACAAGGUGAUGUCGUUUGGUCUGAAAAAUGUUGGGGCAACAUAUCAACGAGCGAUGGUGACUCUUUUCCAUGAUAUGAUUCAUCAUGAAAUCGAGGUUUAUGUUGAUGAUAUGAUUGCCAAAUCUCAGACGGAAGAAGAACAUUUGGUGAAUUUGCAGAUCAACGAGCGAUGGUGACUCUUUUCCAUGAUAUGAUUCAUCAUGAAAUCGAGGUUUAUGUUGAUGAUAUGAUUGCCAAAUCUCAGACGGAAGAAGAACAUUUGGUGAAUUUGCAGAAACUGUUUGAGAGUUUGAGGAAAUUCAAGCUGAGGCUUAAUCCGAACAAGUGUACUUUCGGGGUGAGAUCUGGAAAACUAUUGGGUUUUGUUGUUAGUGAAAAAGGGAUUGAGGUGGACCCGGCCAAAGUGAAAGCAAUACAAGAAAUGCCUGAGCCAAGAACAGAGAAACAAGUUCGUGGUUUCUUAGGGAGGUUGAACUACAUUGCAAGGUUCAUCUCUGACCUAACAGCCACGUGUGAGCCAAUUUUCAAAUUGCUAAGGAAAGACCAGGCUAUCAGGUGGAAUGACGAUUGUCAAAGGGCUUUCGAGAAGAUCAAAGAGUAUUUGCAGAAUCCUCCAAUCCUUAUGCCUCCGGUCCUAGGGAGACCACUGAUUAUGUACUUGACAGUACUUGACAAUUCUAUAGGUUGUGUUCUCGGUCAACACGACGAGACAGGUAGGAAAGAGCAUGCCAUCUACUACCUGAGUAAGAAAUUCACAGACUGCGAGUCGAGAUACUCAAUGCUUGAAAAGACAUGUUGUGCACUUGCAUGGGCUGCUAAGCGUUUGAGACAAUACAUGCUGACUCACACAACCUUAUUGAUCUCCAAGAUGGAUCCAGUCAAGUAUAUAUUCGAGAAGCCAACUCUCACCGGACGGGUUGCUCGUUGGCAAAUGGUACUAACAGAGUAUGAUAUCCAGUAUACAUCCCAAAAAGCCAUCAAGGGGAGUAUUCUGUCAGACUAUCUUGCUCAACAGUCGAUUGAAGAUUAUGAGCCGAUGAAGUUUGAUUUUCCGGAUAAAGACAUCAUGUUCCUCAAGAUGAAAGACUGCGAAGAGCCAAUUGUUGAGGAGGGACCUGAUCCAGACGAAAAUUGGACUUUGUUGUUUGAUGGGGCUGUCAAUGCCAGAGGAAGUGGAAUUGGUGCUGUCAUUACUACUCCGAAAGGUGCCCACAUGCCUUUCACCGCUCGUCUAACUUUUGAGUGCACCAAUAAUGAAGCUGAGUAUGAAGCUUGUAUCUUGGGUAUUGAGCAAGCCAUUGAUUUGAGAAUCAAGACUCUGGACAUCUUCGGAGAUUCAUCUCUAGUGAUCAAUCAAGUGAAUGGUGAUUGGAACACUCUCCAUCCCAAUCUGAUCCCUUACAGGGAUUACACGAGAAGAUUAUUGACUUUAUUCACAAUAGUAAAGUUGUAUCAUAUACCUCGUGAUGAGAAUCAGAUGAUAGAUGCUCUUGCCACUCUAUCCUCCAUGAUCAACGUGAUUCGGUGGAACCAUGAUCCCAGGAUUGAUAUUAUGCGUCUCGACAGGGCCACGUAUGUGUUUGCUGCUGAACUGGUAGUUGACGACAAGCCCUGGUACCACGACAUCAAGUGUUUUCUGAAGAAUCAAGAGUACCCUGCAAGGGCAUCCAACAAUGAUAGAAAGACUUUGAGAAGAUUGGCAGGCAGUUUCUUCUUGAACAAAGACGAUGUGGUGUAUAAGAGGAACUUCGACAUGGUUUUGCUUAGAUGCGUGGAUAGACACGAAGCAUACAUGUUAAUGCAGGAAGUUCAUGAAGGCUCCUUCGGUACUCAUGUCGGGGGACAUGCAAUGGCUAAGAAAUUGUUAAGAGCAGGUUAUUACUGGAUGACCAUGGAAUCUGAUUGUUUCAAAUAUGCUUGGAAGUGUCAUAAAUGCCAGAUUUAUGUUGAUAAGGUACAUGUGCCGCCAAAUCCUUUGAAUGUGAUGUCUUCGCCAUGGCCUUUUGCUAUGUGGGGCAUUGAUAUGAGUGGAAGGAUUGAGCCGACCGCCUCCAAUGGGCAUCGCUUCAUCCUUGUUGCCAUAGACUAUUUCACCAAGUGGGUCGAAGCAGCAUCAUUCGCGAAUGUCACCAGACAUGUGGGUGCCCGAUUCAUUAAGAAAGAAAUCAUUUGUCGUUAUGGGAUUCCCGAAAGAAUCAUUACUGAUAAUGGUUCUAAUCUCAAUAACAAAAUGAUGAAGGAGUUGUGCCAGAACUUCAACAUUCAGCAUCACAAUUCUUCCCCUUAUCGCCCUAAGAUGAACGGUGUUGUUAAGGCAGCAAAUAAGAACAUAAAGAAGAUUGUGCAGAAGAUGGUCGUCACGUACAGAGAUUGGCAUGAGAUGCUACCCUUCGCCUUGCAUGGAUACCGUACUUCAGUACGUACAUCGACCGGGGCAACCCCUUACUCCCUUGUGUAUGGUAUGGAAGCAGUCCUACCUGUUGAAGUGGAGAUUCCUUCUCUAAGAGUCCUGUUGGAUGUCAAGUUAGACGAAGCUGAAUGGAUUCAGACAAGGUUCAAUGAGUUGAGUCUUAUCGAAGAGAAGCGAAUGGCAGCCGUUUGUCAUGGGCAGUUGUAUCAGAGUCGGAUGAAGAGAGCCUUUCAUCAGAAAAUGCGUCCUCGAUGUUUCCAAGUUGGAGAUUUAGUGUUGAAAAGGAUCCUUCCUCCUCAGACAGAUCACAGGGGCACGUGGACUCCUAACUAUGAUGGACCAUACAUUAUCACCAAUAUUUUCGAUGGUGGGGCCUUAAUGCUUGCAACUAUGGAUGGUGAAAACUUCACUUCCCCUGUGAACUCAGACGCAGUAAAAAAUACUUCGCAUAAAAUAGACCCGAUGGACAAUAAAAAGAAUAGUCCAGGCAAAAAAAAUGGGCGUCCCGACGAACCAAGAAAAUGAAAAGGUUCGGGCAAAAAAUAGGGAUUAAAAAUGAAAAGAUUGUACACCCGGUAAGUUGAAAACCUAAAAAGGCAACUUAGGCAAAAAUGGGUAUCCUGGUGGAUUGAAAACCCGAAAGGGCGAUCCAGGCAAAAGUUAGGGAUUAAGCGAAUGGCUGCGUUCUGAGUAGUUCUGAAUAUCAUCUCGUGUCGAUAACCGGAAACUUCAGAAGGAUAGGAAACAAUCCAAUGACCUUUUUCAGAAAGUCGAUCAUCUGGAGGAUCUUGAAGACGAGCGAGUCAUAGCAGAAUUGGAACCCGAUAGAAAUCCAUUUGACGUUGCCAUUAGAUUAAUUUCUGUUUUUAUCUUUUGUGCAAUUACCUCUUUCCAGGGAUUGCUUCCUGAUGUAAAUGCCUAUUCAGAGGCCACUCAAUCAAUAAAAUCAUGUUAUUUAGUACAUCUCUGUGUUCAUUUUCAUUUUACUGUUUUGUUUGCAAAAAUGACGUCCGAAUUUUUGGUAAACAUUGCAUCAUGAAACAUAAGAGCUUUACAGGUACGUGCUCAAUAAACAUUGAAAAUUGCUGUAAAUUUUAAGCGUUUGGGAUCGUCUAUUCAGAACAGGUACACUCGGGGCAUUUCCUUAAGGUCCCCAUCAAAUGAUCGCGGAUGUUUUUCCUCAACAGUUGGAAUUUGGUAUCUUAUCCCUGCAGAGCUGGUCCGAGCGUUGGAUUCUUCAAUCCCCAGCAGGCUCUCACUGCUGUACUUCCCCAAGCAUUUGUUUCAGAUUAUACAUUCACCAGUAGAAUCGACAAUGUCAGACUGUAUAUCACCAGCGAAGUUGACAGUGACAGACUGUAUCUUCCCAACAAAAGCGGCUGCUCCUCAGAGUUUGAUGCCAGAUCGAUGAUCUCGACGCUAGACCCACGGUCUCUUUCCUUGAAGCAGAAUCUCGGUACCGUAUCGGUGUUUGCUUCCCCUGCUGAGUCGUCUCUCUCGCAGAUUAUGGUUGCCAGAACCACUGUCGCUUUCCUCGAUAACAAGUUUUUAGUGCCGUUCUCUCCUCAGUCAGAGCCUCGGUAUUUUGUUAUUUGCCCGAACACCGUAUGGCGGAUCAUUUCCCCAGUAGAAUUCUUUGCCUCGGCUUGGUAUUCUAUCUAAUCAAGCAUUUCGCAUCCCUGCAUGUAGAAUCAUAUUGCAUUGCAUCCUCCCAAAUUGCGUAGCAUUUCCAUUUUCAUGGAGCAUUACGCCAUUGAAAAAUUCAAACAUACGCAUGUAAAGCAUAAGGCACUCUCGGUAUCCCAAGUGACAAGCCAGAAGUUGUUUCCAGUACUCAGACUGAAGAUUGUUCAUGACUUAUCUUUAUUAUUCCCAGCAGGGGUCGUUGGCCCACGCGCCGCCUCAAUUAUCAUUUUCCCUAUUUCUGCCGAUGCUAACAGGCAUGAAAGUUUCCGGUAUUCAGACCAAAGUGGCAUUCAGUCCAGUUUUCCGAUGUUCAGAUCGAAGAAGUUUCCGACGUUCAGGUCGAUGCAACUUGUGGCAUUCAGGCCAGGUUCCCGGUAUUCAGACCGAAGUGGCAUUCAGGCCAGUUUUUCGAUGUUCAGAUCGAAGAAGUUUCCGAUGUUCAGGUCGAUGUAACUUGUGGCAUUCAGGCCAAGUUCCCGGUAUUCAGACCGAAGUGGCAUUCAGGCCAGUUUUCCGAUGUUCAGAUCGAAGAAGUUUCCGACGUUCAGGUCGAUUCAACUUGUGGCAUUCAGGCCAGGUUCCCGGUAUUCAGACCGAAGUGGCAUUAAGGCCAGUUUCCCGAUGUUCAAAUCGAAGAAGUUUCCGACGUUUAUUCAGGCCAAGUUCCCGGUAUCCAGACCGAAAUGGCAUUCAGGCCAGUUUUCCGAUGUUCAGAUCGAAGAAGUUUCUGACGUUCAUUCAGGCCAAGUUCCCGGUAUCCAGACCAAAGUGGCAUUCAGGCCAGUUUUCCGAUGUUCGGAUCGAAGAAGUUUCCGACGUUCAGGUCGACGCAACUUCUGGCAUCCAGGCCAGUUUUACGGUAUUCAGACCGAAGUGGCGCUCAGGCCAGUUUCCCGGUGUUCAUACCGAUGUUUGAUAAUCUAAUAUCUUCCGAUGCUCAAAUCGAAGUCAUUUCCAAUAUUCAGACUGAUGAGCGACAUUCAGGCCAUGGUUAUUUCUGUGUUACCAUUUAUUUUGGUAUCCAGGUUAACAUUCUUUUUCGAUAUUCAGACCGACUCUCACCGUACAAGACGGAUUCUUCUUUCAAGACCAUUUAUUUGCUGAUUUUGACAGGCAUCGUUACUUCACUUCACUUCAGUGUAAAUUUUCAGGCUUUUAUUGUAUUCAAUUCCCUGAUACCUCGAAAGUGCGAAAGCCGCUGCUAUCUUCUUUUCGGGUCUCCAGUUGAUUGAAUAGGGGCAGCUGUAGCACCUCAAAUUUGCCCCCCUUAUUCAUGCAUUCAUUUUUUGGUCAUUUAACAUUUCAUAUUGUAUUUCAUCAUGUCAAUCAGAAUUAGAUCCAAGAAGCUUGAAUAUCAUCCAAGACACUUUGUGGGUUCUAUCGGGGUGAUCAACCAACACAAGGGAAUGAUUUGAGUUACUUCCAACAUGUUCAAAUAGGGUCUAUUCAUCAUUCAAAACGCUAAUCUUGAAGGAGCAAAAGUCUAUUCCUGAGUUGUCAUGCUCGCUAGGCGAGCAGCGUGGUUCGCCUAGCGAGUCUGAACUGUCAUGCUCGCUAGGCGAGCAAAUUCUUCGCUAGGCGAAGCGCACGCGUUUUAAAAAUAAAAAAUAUACAGCAGAAAAAUCUUGGACUUGGACCUAUCUCAUUUGAGCCCACCAAACAACAAAAAUCAAGUUAUAAAUUCUAAAAAUUCAGUGGAAAAACCCUAGAGAGAGAGAGAGAGAGGAGAAGAGCUAACAGAAUUCAGAGCAGCCUCCAGAGACACUGAAGAAAAAAAACUCCUUUGCACAGGAUCACCUCUACCAAUUCCAUCUCAUACAAACCCUAAGAUUGCUUUGCAAACCCAACUGGGCAAUUCAAUUUCAUUCGAUCUCUCCGAUCAGGUUUGCCCUAUUUCCAUCACUUUAUGCUUUCAAUCUGAAAUUUCUAAAUGUAUAAGGUAUUAUGGGUGAAUUUGGAAGAGUUUGUAUCGUUAGGUUUUGCACACGGGUUUAGAUAUGCAUGAAUGUGUAAAACAAUGCCUUGAAUGUUUAAUCGUUUAAUUUCUGAAAUGUGUACCAUAGGGUUUGGGGUUACUGAAAUCGGACUGUUAUCAAAGAAGAACCUAGAACCCGCAGGCAUUCGCUAGCACCUCGCUAAGCGAACAUGUAGCGACGCUUCGUUAGCACCUCGCUAAGCGAAGCAGUAGCGAUGAUGACAGUAUCUAUUUUUUCUGUUGGCUCUAUAACCUGUUUUGUGACAUGUUUUCUAUUGCAUCUGGGUAAUGUUUACCUGACAUUAUUGUUGCUAUGAUUCUUUUGUUUGGUGCAACUCUUGAUUGCACCCCAUCUUGUUACUCUAACUUGUUUGUUGAGUUUUUGUGAGAGCUCCCAUAACUCCUGAAGAGAUAGCUUGCUUGGUAUUCCACUUUAUUUGUGGGAUACCAUUGUGGAGAAUUAUUCUUAUUGCUUUGCUGACGUGCUUUCUUUAAUGAUGCUAGCUUGAGAGAUCACCGGGUUUCUUGCUUCUCUAGUUGUUAUUACUUCGGAUUUUUAUCCAUGUGGUAGAUCUCCUGAUCUCUUUAUCUUUCCCGCAUUUUACCGCUUUCUUAGCUGGAAGACCUCGAUAGGAGGCGAUGUUUUUGUGUGUGUUUACUUUUGUGCCCAAAUACCUCCAAGAAGAGGCACCAGUGCUAAAGACCUCCACAAAGAGGCAAUUGAAGGAUAAAAGGGAUUAGUAGCCAAUCCCCCGUUAUUCAGUGUGUCGUUCUUUAUGCUCGCACUACGUGUCGAUGCUUCAAAACAAAAGCCCAAGAUCUUUUGUCCGGUCAGUCAGUGGAGAGGCUUCCACCUUUCUGAAUCCCCACUUUUUGUCAUGAGCUCACUCUGUCCAGGAUUAAGAGCUAUGAGGUCUUAUCCUCAUUACCCUUUCGAUCUGCUCACCCUGACGUUCAGUGUCAGUGGUUAAGAGCCCGUUUGAUUACCCUUCCAUGGCUUGUUUGUCGAGGUUGAUAUGACCCCUCUUGACUAAAGCCCUACCCAUGUAUGCUUGAGCCCCCUUGUUGGUGCGUUUACUUUAUGCAUGUUUGUUUUGUAUGGUGUGAUCGUCUCCCCAUAGGAUUGCUAGGCUACGUAUAGUCUCUCGUUUGCAUGUCAAUCAAGGUAGCACGGUUCCUUCGUCUAGGACUUCCUUUUUGCAUGAGCACUCCUAAAACACAAACAAACUCAUUGAUUUUUCUUCUCCUAAGAACAUGUUAACUCCUUCUACUACAGGCGAGUAAGUCUCUAAAGGUCGAGCAUCCGGUAGAUUGCGUAGUAACGUCGUUCACCCUAAAAAAACACACAAAACAAACAAAUAGGUCAGCCGAGCUACGAAGACUCUGAUUCUCAUAUUCAGAAGAGAUACGUAUGUAGUGGAUGCGACAUCCGUGCGAGUCAUUUUCUUUUGACCCCUCUUUUAGUAAAUAGUAUAUUAGAUAAACCCACACCCUUUGGACAAGAACAACAAGAGUGGAUCCCGUAAAGUACUAAGGAUGCGUAGGGGUGCUAAUACCUUCCCUUCGCAUAAUCGACUCCCGAACCCAAGAUUUGGUUACGAGACCUUGUCUUUUCCUUUCCUUUUUCCAAGUUUACUUCGAGCGUUUCCUUUCCCUCAUUUGGGAUAAAUAACGCACAGUGGCGACUCUUCUGUCAUUUUCUUUCCUUUGUUGCCGGUUGUUCCGUUUCGCAUUUAGGUUGCGACAGCUAGCGACUCAGCUAGGGACCCGGUUUCCCUAAGCGAGUCCCUCCUAGAUUUUGUAGGUUUCUUGUUUGUUGGGUGUUUAUUCUUUUGCACAAUUAUUUAUUUUUCAGCAUUUACCUGCUUUACCUUAUUGCAUUCAUGUACAUAUGAUUUGCUGAAUCUGUUGGAUUCUGUGGGUUGUUUGUUUAUUGGGGUGGGAUGUUCUAUGAGAAAUAAGCCCACUACCCAGGCUUGAGUGUAUACACAGGUUUUAGAGUGGAUAAUCAUGAGGCUUGCGUGGCGUGUUGCUACGUUAAGUCGUUCGUGAAGAACCACACCCAGACGAGGUUUCUUUUGGAUAUAUUAUGUCUUACGGGUGUUCCGUAACGGUAGGAUGUUCCUCUAGAAAUCGUCGACUCUGGUGACCAUUUCCCGAGAACUCAGUCGAGGCCUCUCCUCCGAGACGUGAUUAUGUUAGCUCUGGUGGGCGCAUUCUCGCUGCUCAAUCCGAGGAUCCCGAGACUGGGAACUUGCUAUUAGGAUGUCCUGUUGAGGGGAGUCAAUGGAGGUCUUUUGUCCCGUAAUAAUACCAAACCUUCAGUGGUAAACGUAUUAUUCGCGACUGAAGGGCUGAAGCUGACGAACUUCUGUUCUUAGAACCUACCAGUGAGGGGCGGGCUAAAUUCAGGAAACCUUAACCUCCAACCAACCCGGUUUUCUGGAGCAGAGUUUUGGUCUUGUAUUAUAUUCCUCAGUGAAUUUCUCUCCAGGCAGUGCAACCUGACAGAUGUUCAAGCGGAUCCAUCAAUUCUGAUUGACAUGCCUUUGCAUUGCAUAACAUCAUCUGCAUAUUUGCAUCCAACAUCUCAUGCUUAUUCAUUUGCAGGGUAUUCCCUUUCAAAACGGGGGUGCCUUAAAACUGAACAAGCAGUGCAUCGCAUACCAUGCAUAUUAACCCUUGUCUGUUUUGCAGGUGUCACCGCAGUGUCUAAUGUUUGUUCCCUGUAUCAGGCAGUUAUUGGUCCCAAGCGAGUCCACAGGUACCCGACAAAGGAAAAUCGUCCACAGCUAGCGAUGGACCAAGUACAGAAAGAGCUGGCUGAUAUGCGUGAAAGGAUGGAUCAGUUCAUGACAUUGAUGACUGGUAUGGCAGAAGGCCAGGAAAAGCUGAGGGAAUUGGUUGAGCAACCGAGACCCGAUCCGGAGGUGGAGAUACCAAAUGCUGAGGGAAACCCUGGUAACCCUGGGAACGCUGAUAACCCUGUGAACACUGGUAACGCGGGUAACGCAAAUGCUGAUGGAAACCCGGGUAAUGUUGGCAACACAGGGAAUGUUGGAAAUGGUAUUGGCGGAAGGUACAAUGUGAAUCAAGGAAUUCGGAUUAACGGGCGCCCCGUUACUGAAGAUUAUCAGUAUGAUCAAUUUUCUUUGCACGACGAGGCCCUCGAGACCACUCGCCGUAUGGAUGAGCUUGCUGAGAAGCUCAAAUCUUUGGAGUCUCAAAAUUCCUUAGGCUUUGAUGUCACAAAUCUUGGUCUGGUUCAGGGAGUAAGGAUUCCUCACAAGUUCAAACCCCCUACUUUUGAGAAAUACAACGGGGCUUCUUGCCCACGCACUCAUCUCCAAUCUUAUCUGGGAAGGUUGGGAGCUCACACGGAAGAUGAAAAGCUGUGGAUGUACUAUUUUGAAGACAGUCUAACUGGAGCUUCUCGUGAAUGGUAUUCUCAUUUGUCUCGUACUACCAUCAAGAGCUGGAAAGACUUGGCAGAGGCUUUUGUCAAGCAAUAUCAAUACAACUUGGACAUGGCUCCAAAUCGGACCUUGUUGCAAGGUAUGUCUCAGACUGCCAAGGAAACCUUUAGAGAGUAUGCUCAGCGUUGGAGACAGAUUGCUGCGUCCGUCCAACCCCCUAUGUCUGAAAGGGAGAUGGCGGACAUGUUCAUGAACACUCUUCAAGGCAAUUAUAUUGAGAGAUUGGCUGCUUGCCCGUCAAUCAGCUUUGCAGAGAUAGUAAUUGCUGGAGAAAGAAUCGAGAGUCUGUUGAAGAUGGGCCGAAUUCAAGACAAUAGUGCUUCCAACUCAUCAGGUCCCAAGAGACCGUUUGCUGGUAACGGUCAGCGAAGAAAAGAAGGCGAGGCAAGCGUUGUGUAUGCCGGCAGAGGCAGGGGUAGAGGACGCCCUAAUUAUUAUCAAGAUCAAGUGGCCGCAGUCACUAUUCCAACACCUGUUCCUCAACCGCAAUAUCAUCCGCAACAACAACCCAGGUACAACAAUCAACAACAAGGAGGUAAUCCGGGUCAGCAGAGACACUAUCAACAACGUCCAAGGCAGACGGACCGGGUCAUCGAGCCAAUCCCAAUGCCUUAUUCAGUAUUACUUCCCAAGCUGAUUGACAUGAAUCUGGUUACGUUGAGAACUCUGGCCCCACCAAUCGAUCCCAAUAAUUUGCCUAGAGGUUAUGAUGUCAACGCCAGAUGUGCUUUUCACUCCAACGCACCUGGCCAUACUACAGAUAAUUGCAAGGCUCUCCAGUUAAAGGUACAAGAUUUGAGAGAUGCCCAGGCUAUCAAUUUUGCUCCGGUGCCUAAUGUUAUCCAGAACCCGAUGCCGGCUCACGGCGGGCAGAGGAUUAAUGCUGUUGAUAGUGGGGAAACUUUGAAUUUGGUUUCUGAUGUGACUAAGGUGAAGACUUCGCUAUCGGUGGUUAAAGACCGACUUCUGAAAGGACAGAUUUUCCCGGGCUGUGGGGAAGAAUGCAGAAAUUGUCAAGCUGCCGAAAACGGAUGUGACAGUUUGAGAAGGGGUAUUCAGCAACUGAUAGAUGAAGGUUGUCUUCAGUUCGAUCAGGCCCGUCCGGUGAAGAAUGAUGUAUCGACGGUGACGUUUUAUUUCACUCCUGAAGAAAUAUAUGUUCCCGAGAGACUCGCUCCGACAACAAUAUAUUUCCCAGAAAGUACAGAACCAGCAGCGGUGAACAUCGAAAGUUCAGCACCAGUCGCAAUUUACUCUGACAGCCCUCAACCGACUUUGGUUGGUCCAAUCACCAUCACGGUACCAGGACCUGUUCCGUAUGAGAAAGACAGUGCUAUCCCGUGGCACUAUGGGGCUGAUAUCUACUGCCAGGGGCAGAAAGUUAACGAAGAAGACAUUGACAUUGGUAGCUCCGCUGUAGACAAUGUUGGAGGGGUUGGUGGCUUCACUCGCAGUGGACGCCUAUUUGCACCAUCAACAUUACGCGCGAAUACUGAAGCCGAGGCAGCUGCCAAGGCUAAAGGAAAACAGGUAUCCACCGAAGAGGUUACUACUGAGGAAGAUCCUCCUAAGACCGCAUUCGAGAAGGAAGUGGAUGAGUUUAUGAGGAUUAUCAAGAAAAGUGACUACAAGGUAGUCGACCAGCUAAAUCAGACACCCUCAAAGAUCUCCAUUCUCUCACUAUUGCUGUGCUCUGAGGCGCACAGAGCAGCCUUGUUGAAAGUACUGAAUAUGGCCUAUGUUCCACCGGAGAUAACUGUUAACCAGCUGGAGUCGGUAGUUUCCAAUGUAAACGCUAGCCGGGGGCUAGGUUUCACCGAUAAUGACCUGACAUCUGAGGGCAGGAAUCACAACAAAGCCUUGCAUAUCACAAUGGAGUGCAAAGGGGUGAUGCUUUCCCAUGUUUUGGUUGAUACAGGCUCUUCUCUGAAUGUUCUUCCAAAGAAAGCCUUAAUGAAGUUGGAUUGCGAUGACACCAUCCUGAGGCCAAGUAACUUAGUUGUGAGGGCUUUUGAUGGCUCUAAGAGAGCUGUCUUUGGCGAAGUUGAGUUGCCAGUUAAGAUUGGACCGCAGGUGUUCAAGAGCACCUUUUAUGUGAUGGAUAUCCAGCCUGCCUACAGCUGUCUGCUAGGUCGGCCUUGGAUUCAUGUUGCCGGUGCUGUUACUUCUACCCUCCACCAGAAGCUCAAAUAUGAACUAGAAGGUCAGAUCGUCACUGUAUGUGGUGAAGAGGAUAUUUUUGUUAGCCACCUGUCUACAUUUAAGUAUGUAGAGAUGGAUGGCGAGAUGCAUGAGAUGCUGUGUCAGGGCUUCGAAACUACAAACAUCAAUGAGGUCGCGCCCGAAGCUGUCUUUUCACCUGAGUUUGAGAAGGUCGGGACUUCUAUCUCUUCAUACAAGCAAGCUGUCGAAGUGGUUAAAGCUGGUAAUGCCCAAGGCUGGGGCAAAUUUGUGGAGCCAGUCAUCAAAGAAGACAAGUUUGGAUUGGGGUAUGCUCCGGGAUCUCAGAAGAAUGAAACCGGUACUCUCUCCAGCGGGGGUUUGGUUUCUCCCCACAUCGUCAAUGCUGCAGAUGAAGACAAGGCUGACAGCGACUGUGACUUAGAUAGCUGGAUUCGCCCGUGUGUCCCGGGAGAAAAGCUCGACAAUUGGUCGUCUGAAAAAACCGUCCGGGUUACUCUACUGAAAGAGUGAUUUUUAUUGUUUUCCUUUAUUACAUGCAUAAUAAAGUCUUACACUUUGCCCAAGGUGUAACGGCUCAUUUGUAGGGCCAUCCAUUUAGUUACAUUUCGCAAUUAUUUUUAUCAUCAAUAAAGGACGGCUUUUGCAAACAAUUUUGUGUUCUCUUUCUUUCAGUUUUUUUUACUUUUACAAAAAAAAAUGGCAAUGUUUCUUUUUUCGUUUUUUCUUUCUUUCCAAAAAAAAAUCUCUCAUUCUAAGGUAAAGCAUGAUCCUCCAUCAUGCAGAGCCGACCACCCGGAUCUCACUGCUAACGACACUGCUAUGGCCAAGUAUGACUUCGACAAUCCUAUCUAUUAAGCCGAAGAAGGGGUUGAGGAAGAUUGUGAAUUGCCUGAAGGGUUAGCCAGAUUGUUGAAACAGGAGGACCGAGCUAUUACACCUUAUCAGGAGGUGAUUGAGACCGUCAACAUCGGUACCGCAGACGACAAGAAAGAGAUCAAGAUCGGGGCAAGUCUACAGGCCGAGAGGAAAGACCGUUGAUCAUGUACUUGACUGUGUUAGAAAGGUCAAUGGGUUGUGUGCUCGGUCAGCAUGACGAGUCAGGUCGAAAAGAGCAUGCAAUAUACUACCUUAGCAAAAGUUUACCGACUGUGAACAAAGAUACUCAUUGCUCGAGAAAACUUGUCGCGCUUUGGCAUGGGCUGCUCGCCGACUAAGACAGUAUAUGUUGACUCACACGACUCUAUUGAUAUCAAAAAUGGAUCCAGUCAAGUAUAUUUUUGAAAAGCCAGCACUUACCGGAAAGGUUACUAGGUGACAAAUGAUACUGACAGAGUAUGACAUCCAAUACACUUCACAAAAAGCCAUCAAGGGAAGUGUCUUGUCAGACUAUCUUGCAGAGCAACCGAUUGAUGAUUACCAACCUAUGAGGUUUGACUUUCCUGAUGAGGACAUCAUGUUUCUCAAAUCGAAAGAUUGAGAGGAACCACUCCCGGAGGAGGGGCCUGACCCUGAAUCCAAAUGGGUUAUGAUGUUUGAUGGGGCGGUCCACGUCAAUGGUCGCGGAGUUGGUGUAGUGUUGAUCACACCGGAAGGGGGUUCAUAUGCCAUUUGGUGCCAGAAUAACUUUUCCCUGCACCAACAAUGAAGCCGAAUACGAAGCUUGUAUCCUAAGACUUGAGGAAGCCGUCAAUAUACAGAUUAAAACCCUGGAUGUAUACGGGGAUUCAGCUUUGGUCAUCAAUCAAACCAACGGGAAAUGGUAUACACCUCAGCCUCAUCUGGUUCCUUACAGAGACUACACGAGAAGAUUGUUAACUUUCUUUUGAAGAAAACCAAUUUGCUGAUGCUUUGUUUACCUUGUCUUCGAUGAUUAAGGUGCUAUGCUGGAACUACGUACCCAGAAUUGACGUAUCUCGGUCAGAGACGAAUGAAGAAAGCAUUUGGUCAGAAAGUGCGCCCUCGGGGGUAUCAAGUCGGUGAAUUGGUACUCAAAAGAUUUCUUCCUCCCAACACAGAUCACAGGGGCAAAUGGACACCGAACUAUGAGGGUCUGUACGUGGUUAAAAGGAUUUUCUAUGGCGGAGCUUUGAUGCUAACAACCAUGGAUGGCGAAGGAUUCCCGUCCCCUAUUAACUCAGACGCAGUUAAAAAAUACUUCGCAUAAAAUAAACCCGCUGGACAGUAAAAAGAAUAGUCCAGGCAAAAAAGGGCAUCCCGACGAACCAAAAAAAAAGAAUAAAGAGGUUCGGGCAAAAAUUAGGGAUAUAAAAAUAAAAAAAAUGUACACCCGGUGAGUCGAAAACCCGAAAGGGCGGCUCAGGCAAAAAAGGGUAUCCUGGUGGAUUGAAAACCCAAAAGGGCGGUCCACGCAAAAGUUAGGGAUUAAGCGAAUGGCUGCGAUCUGAGUUCAUCUAUGUCAUAUCACCGUUUCAUUCAAUCCGGCAAUCUCCAAAGGUUAAAGAUCGACUAAUCAACCACUUCAGAAAGCAAGAUGAGCAAGCGUCUGGAGGUCAUACGAGUCAUAGCAGAGUCGAAACUCAGUGAGACCCCGUAUCCCCAUUGCCAUUAUUAGUUCUCUUUUUAUAGCGAUCACCUCCUUUCAGGGAUCAGCUUCCUGAUACCCUCGCCUAUUCCUGGCACAAAUUUUCUCCGCAGUAAGAUUCGAAUAAUUCAGUUAAAGAGCCUCUUUAUUUUUCAUUUAUCAGUUUAUUUGCAAAAAUGUCCGAAUUUUUGAUAAAACAUAUUUCAUAUGAACAUAAUGGUGGCUUUUGCAGAUGAUUUGCACAGGAAAACAUUUAAAAUUGCUUUGAAUGUGCUUAAUCCCGGACGGUGAUUCAAACCGAGUAAGUCCCCCGAGCAUACGUGUAUUUUUGGUUGCAAGGUCACAAGGAACCCGAUGGCCUAACGUUCAUGAAAUCCUUCAUCCCCAUAGCGGGUAACAAAGUCACUCUCCUCAGUAGAGCAUGUUCCCACCAGCAGAGGUGACAGUGAUCCAGACUAUAUAAUCCCCAGCGGAGUUGACAGUGUCAGACUGUAUCUUCUAGCAACACCGGAGUGGUUGCAUAACCAACAGAUGAGAGGGUGGUGUUCCCCAGUGUUCAUCUCAUUCCCCAGGCAGAUUAUUUUAACAGAUUCUGUUGAAUCCCUCAUCCCGCCAGUAUCAGCUUGAGGGUGAUUAGCAAUGUUCACUAUCCCCAGCAAUGCCCUAAUGUGCGUUAAUCCUACUGACACUUCCCCAGGAAGUGUUUUCCCCGCACGACCUCUCCUCCACAUGGAAGCCUGCGCCGAAUCACACAAGUUUUUUCCGUAGUUUGAUACUCCCCCCCGAGACUACCACGCAAGCUCAACUUUCCAAGCAAGCCAAUUUGUUGGUGGCCUCAUUGGUCCCCUGGCAGAUACGGAUCAUUCCCCACAGAGCAUUCAAGGAUUGAAACAUGGCGAUCUGUUCCCCUACCGGAGUGGCGUUCCCAAGCGAGAUUUCUUUUAACAACCGGCAUAACAAGCAUCUUGCAUGCAUAUGCAUAUCAAGCAGUACACAUAAGUUUGAAGAACAGGUCGUUCAAGAAGACUGAAGAAUACUUUACAACCCAAGGUCAUGGAAAUCCAGCCAGAGGAUCAAGUGGGAGUGACCAAGCGAGGGUCGUUUGAAGAUUCAGCCUCGAGAAACGUUUUCCCAGUGAUGCCAGCCCUGAGGGUUCAUGGAAGAUUCAGCUUGAGAACGUUUCCCAGUUGAUCGACCCGGCCUGAGGUUCAAUUUUGAAGACUUCAGCGCCUGAGUAAUCGUUCUUCCAGUGAUUCCAGCCUGAGGGUCCAUUUGAAAGAUUCAGCCUGAGAAUCGUUUUCCCAGUGAUGCCGGCCUGAGGUUCAAUUUUGGAAAGAUGUCGGACCAUGAGAAUCGUGUGUCCAGUGAUCCAGCCUGGGUCAUCGGAGAAUCAGUGUUCGAAGUUCCACCAUGCGGAGCAGUCGUGACAGUUUAGCAGCAGGCGUCUUUACGAGAGAUUCAAACUGAGAAAUCGGUCCUACGUAAGCAGCCUAAGUUGCGUCAAUGUUGAAGAUUCCCAGUGGAAGUCGCCUACAAGCUUUACUUCCCCAACAAGCCAAGUCUAAAUUGAGGAGUCUGUUACAACAUGUUCUAGGCCCAAGAAUAUGUUACGAAGCCCAAAAGUGGAAUAUCCCGAAGCUGCAAUCUAAAUAUGAAGGUUGGGUGAAUUCAAAAGCGGUCCAACCAGCGGCAUGCCUCAGAUGCGGGAUCCUAAUGAUGGGAAAUUUACUCAUGCAAACAAUCCAGCUCUAGCGUCCAGAUAGAUCGAAGUAGAUUGCAGCCAGAGAAUGCGAAACAAAGAAGAUCUACGGCCAGAAGAUAGAAAUCGCAACAAUUCAGAUCUAGCCAGAAGAUCGAAGUGAGAAUUCAGGCCAGAGAAUCAAAAGGAAAUAGAUUCAGCCAGAGAAUCGAAACGAAGGAGAUCUAGCCAGAAGAUCAAAAUCGUAUCCAACCGAGGAUCAAAAUUAAUAUCCAAACAGAGGACUAAAUUGAGGUAAUUAUGCUUUUGCCAGAGGAGGAACUCGAACUGAAACCAGAUUAAGCCAGAAGAGACUGAUUCAGAUCCAGCCAGAGGAAGGAUCGGAAGAAAAAUAAACAGCGCGGUGUAUUUCCCGCAUUUUUUGUGGUGUUCUCGGAGCGCAAAUUUUUUGGUCUGUUUGGUAUUCAAUCACAGCUCACCCCGUUUGGUCUGAUAAGUUGUUUCGCUUUCAUCCCUACUCGGGUUAGCUUGAUGAUUGAAAUAGGGGCAGCUGUAACACCCCCAAAAUUUUCCCUCCUCAUUCAUGCAUUCAUUUUAACAUUUCAUAUUAACAUUUCAUCAUGUCAAUCAGAAUAGAUCCAAGAAACUUAUUUAAAAAAAAAAUAAAAUAAAAAAAAAAUAAAAUAAAAAAAAAAUAAAAAAAUAAAUAAAAUAUAAUAGAAAAAAGACUUGGACUUGGACCUCUCUCAUUUGAGCCCACAAAAGCCAUGAAAUCAGGUUAUAAAAGAGGAGAUCAGACAGAAAAAGGAAGAGAAGCAAAAACACUCCUGAGGUUUCCUUGCCACAAACCCUGGACAAAACCUGGAGAGAAAGCUAGACAGAGAUUGUGAGAAUCUAACUGCAGCACACUCCAGGCAACUCUGAAAAGGUUCAUUCUACUCACAAGACUUUCAACUCAAGCAAACCCUACAUUGGUUUGCAAAAUCCAGCCGUGCAUUUGAUUUCAACCGAUCUCUCCAAUUAGGUUUGGCCCUAUAUCCAUCAUCUUUACUGCCUUUAAUUUGAAUGCUCCUAAAUGUAGAGGUGUUUAUGGGUGAAUUUGAUACCCUUUUGAGGCAUGUGUUUGACAAGAGGUUUUGCCUCCUACCCUUGGUUGCUUUUUGGGAAAUUGAAAGGGCAUGAUUCUAGUGGUUACAUUUUUGAUUUGGGGCAACCCUUGAUUACCCUAUUUUUUUUUCUCUCUAACCUGUUUGUUUGAGUUUUUUUUGUGUGAGGGCUCACAGACUCUUGCAGAGAUGGUUUGCGUGGUUUUCCCACUUUAGUUGUGGGAUACCCCCUGGAGGUUCAUUCCGAUUACCUGUACUGACUCACCUUUCUUUGAUGGCAUUUAGCUUGGGAGAUCCCUGGUUUCUUACUCCUUUAAUUGUUGUUACUUCGAUGCUUUAUCCGUGUGGUACUUUUACCUCUUUUCCGCAUUUUAUCGCUUUCUUAGCUGGAAGACCUCGAUAGGAGGCAUUUGUUUUCUUUUGUUUAUUUACUUCUGAGCCCCUUGUUGGCACAUUUACUUUAUACAUGUUUUGUUUGUAUGUGUUCGUAUCCCUGCAGGUCAGCGCGGUUCCCUUCGUCAAGGACCUGCCUUUUCUUCCCUUGGAGCAUCCCUAAACCACUAAAACCCAAAGCAACACGUUAACUCCUUCUACUACAAUGCGAGUAAGUCUCCAAGGUCGAGCAUCCGUUAGAUUGCGUAGUGACGUCGUUCGUCCAAAACCCAAUCCAUAACCCCGUAGUCUUAGCCGAAUACGGCUUGCUCUGAUUCUCAUUCCAGAUGAGAUACGUAGGCAUAAGACGUGAUGUCUUAGCGAGCAACACAUCCCCCCACCCAUAGGUCAGCCCGAGCUACGAAGACUCUGAUUCUCAUAUUCAGAUGAGAUACGUAUGCAAGUGGAUCGCAACAUCCGCGCGAGUCAUUUCAUUUAACGCCUUUUUUUGGGUAAACAGCACAAGAAAUAAACUCAACACCCUUUAGACAAGAACUACAAUAAGUGGAUCCCGUAGAGUACUACGGAUGCGUAGGGGUGCUAAUACUUCCUUCGCAUAACCGGCUCCCGAACCAAGAUUUGGUUGCGAGAACCGACCGUUCUGUCCUUAUCCUUUUUCAGGUUUACUUCGAGCGUUUCCUUUCCCUCCUUUGGGAUGAAUAACGCACGGUGGCGACUCUUCUGUCAUUUUCUUUCGCCGGUUGUUUUUUCGCGCACUGUAUUUUUCAGGUUGCUACAUCAGGGAUACCGUCCCCAACCCGAACUGCUGAGGUUUCUUAAUCAACAACCAUUGUUCGUUCCUCAACUAGCUCCGAGGAACCAAAUGCGGAAUCAGAAUUGGUACUCAAGUCGGAGGCAAAACUCUUAUGCUCAAAAUGGCCAGGAAAAAUCAAAGAGGUUGGAAAAACAGUUUGACCUGAUUCCCAUGACGUAAGGUCGAAUUCUCCCUCUUUUGCUCAACAAAUCAUUGGUGCAGUUAAGGGCACUAGGACCUCCUCCAACACCUCUUCCCUUGAACUACGACAUGAAUGCUAGGUGUGAGUUCCACUCGGGAGCACCCGGACACUCGAUCGAGAGUUGUAAGGCCUUCAAAUACAAGGUCCAGGAACUGAUUGUUUCAAAGGCUAUCGCGUUCACACCAAACAGACUGAAUAUACUAAGCAACCUCAUGCUGCCACAUGAAGGCACUUCUGCAAUGCCACAACCAGUGCCAAUGGAUGAGGAACAAGAAGCUGAAUAAGAGCCGCCUUGGGGACUAUCAUACAUGAGUACAAGCAUGGAUACACCGAUCAUCGGUUGGAAACAAGGCUAAUCACGCCAGCAAUUAGUUAUCAUUCAUUUGUUUCACGUGUAACUUUCUUGCUUGUCAUGUAAUAUUCACUCUUAAAAACUUGUUUUUGCAACAAUGAAAUGAAUAUGCAUGUUUUAAGUCAAUCCAAUUGUGUUCACUCUUAUCUUACUUUUGUUUAAAAACGAAACUUAAAGGGAGAAUGAUGAAUAUAAGGUACAAUAUCUCAUUGCAUGUAUGCUUUUGAAUAAACACCUUGCUGAUGAUGUAAGGCAUUACUUCAAAUCCCCAAACAGUGGAGGUAUAAGGAUGAUAAUCCCUAGUCAACCCCUUUGAGCCUAAAAGUAUGAGUUUUCUUCCAAGCAGAGAAACCCUCACAUCUUAAACCCGGGGCAGGGUAGUCUUCAGCUAAUUUGACCACGCGUUCAAUUCCUAAAAUACAAAGUAGGGAAUGUCCCAUUUGAGGAUCAACCACAUCCUAGGGAGUGUCUUGUCUAAAAGGCAACCACAACAUUUCCCUCACGAGAGGUCGAAAUCACAAAUCCAGUGGUUGUCCCUCGCCAAAAAAAAAGUGAGACAGCCACAAAUCCUUUCAAACUAAAUCAACAAAUGUCACACGAUUUGUUCCACACAAAAAAAUUUCCAAAAAAGAGAGAAAAAUCCCGCUAAGUCGAAACUUGAAAACAAGUGACUUAGGCAAAAAUUAGGGUAUCUCGAUGGACUGCAAGCAAAAAAAAUAGUCCAUGCAAAAUUAGGGAAGUUGAAAAAAAGGGGCAGAAGAGGAAUCAAAAACAAAAAUCCUCAGCAAGAACAAAGUCGUGUGACUGCAAACACAAAAAUAGGAAGGCAAGUGACUGUCACUCCCGAAACCUUUUGUGGCGGUUCUCUUACUCACUCACAUCACAUUCUAAGAGAUGAACGUCUAUGUCAACUAGUUGAACGUAAGGGCUGAAGGGUAUCCAAGAAGAAUGGGCGGGAUAAAUAAAUUUUUGAGCCCAUAAAUCCUUUUGUUUCUAAACGCGUAAAACCAUCCCACAUUACAACCCUUAAAAGACCUAAUUGAAGCAAGUCUAUUUGAAAGCAUAUUGCAUUGGAGCUUUGUCGAAACCGACUCCUAUUUGUUUUGGCUAAGUAUCACUAUGACUUUUGUAACUAGUGAUCCAUUCACUAAUAUGUCAUCUUUUCAAGUGGACAUACUUGGAUUUCUAAAACUACCAUAAAACAUAACAUUAGCAUAAAUAGUUUACUUGUGAAUGAGCAUUGACAUCACAGACAUUUUCACAAUGAACAUGACUUGAGAAGUUUUGGUCACCCAAAAGAGGCAAUUUCCCGAGGACUCCGAUGAGUAAAGGCCAUCCCUUAGAUUAAUCUCACCAGGGGAAAGGCAUCUGAGAACUCCGUCGAGCAAGCCACUUCAAGAUCCAGUCAGUCUGGGACAUCACGUCGAGAUUAGGCAAAUAUCUCCAAAGGAGUUGGCCAGGGGCAUUCCCUCAAAAAUAAACCAGUCAGGGGCAAAUCCAUUCAAGGUUUCACAUCGUAUAAGAAGAGCCACCUCAAAGCAUGAGAAGUCAAAACACUCAAAGAGAUGGAUGAAUAGGGGUAGGCAGAAUCCAAGACGCUGGGGUAUAUCAGAUCAAAGAUUACUCUACCCAUGUUUGCUUCAUAACUUGUAACUGGGGCAGUCCAUGUAGAUACCUAACAGAUUGAGGCAACACUGGCGCAUGGAGAGGAAGAUCUAUUUCGUCGUUAUCGAAUCGAUGCUUGGAUUCUCAUGCGUCAGAUCAAGCAUGGGAAUCAGAAUAUCCAGACAAGCUCACACGUCAUCCAGGUUCAAAGCAAAAUGGUCGGGAAGUCAUGCUAAAGACAUCAUCCCAUAACUUGUCACCAAUGAGCCUUGAAUUCAAGAAAAAAUAUUCCCAGUUCCAACCAUUCUUGACCCACCUCAAGGACAUUUAUGAACUAUCCAAAUAAUUGCAUCAAUCAUUAUGCACCAACCAUGUUGCUUCACUCAUACAUAUCAUGCAUCAUGCAUAACAUGAAGCCCUCCCCCAACAAGAAUAUAGAAGCCAACCCCACUUGAUACCCUUUCAAAAUUAAAGCCUACUUGGCAAACCCAAAAAUAUAAUCAUCAUCAGAUCCAGCCUGAUCCCGUCCAAACCAAAAUCCAAAAGCCCAAUCGUUAUUGCACCUUCCAAAGCACACAUAAACUCAAUCGUAUCUGCACCUCCAAAACAAAUCUCAUAUCAUUAACCAUAAACCGCAAUCGUUAUUGGCACCUCCCAAAAUAAUCUUUAUCAUUAACCAUAAUGCCCAAUUGUUAUUGGCUCCUCCAAAACAAAUCUCUAUCAUUAACCAUAAAACCCAAUCGCUAUUGGCAUCUCCAAAAACCGAAAGCCACUUUGCUGGAAUCUUCAUAAACUCAAAUCCAAUCAACUUGGUACCCAAAAAGUCUCACCUCCCCAACGGAGAUCAAUCAAAUACAUCAAUAUUCAUCUUGCAUUACCACAUGCACUGCAUACAAUAAACACACAUGACCUUCUUUCAAAAUAAGAAAGUUGCAUAUCAAAAAGCUCUCUCAACAAAAUGAGAAAUUCUCAAUAACAUGCACCAUAUGCAUACAUAACAUUAAUAACUCCUUCCCAUCAACCUUUGAUGAGGACAUAACCUGCCUUAAUAUUUUCUGUCAACCCUUUUGACGAAGACAAUUACCUUUCCGUCAACCUUUGACGAUGACAAACUUUUUUCCAUCAGCCCUUUGAUGACGACAUUUUACACACAGUUCUUUCCGUCAACACUUUUGACGAAGACAAAUACCUUUCCGUCAACCCUUUGACGAUGACAAAUUUCUUUUCCAUCAUCCCUUUGAUGAUGACAAUAUUUUCCGUCAAACCCUUUGACGAUGACAAAAUUACCUUUCCGUCAACCCUUUGACGAAGACAAAUUACCUUUCCGGUCAACCCUUUGAUGAAGACGAAUCCUUUCCACAACCCUUUGACGAAGACCAAAUUCUUCCUAUCAAACCCUUGGACGAAGCCACAAAUUCACCUCUCCGUCAACCCUUUGACGAAGACAAAUUACUCUCUUUCCGUCAGCCCUUUGACGAUGACAAAACUCUUUUUCCGUCAACCCUUUGACGAAGACAAAUUACCUUUCCGUCAACCUUUGACGAUGACAAACUUUUUUCCGUUAACCCUUUGACGAAAGACAAAUUACUUUUUUCGUCAACGCCUUUGACGAUGACAAACUCUUUUCCGUCAACCCUUUUGACGAAGACAAGAAUUACCUUUCCGUCAACCCUUUGACGAUGACAAACUCUAUUCCAUCAACCUUUGAAUGACGACCCUUUUCAAUCAACCCUUUGAUUACGACACCCUUUUCCAUCAACCCUUUGAUGACGACACCCUUUUCCAUCACCCCUCUUGAUGAUGACACCUUUUCCAUCAACCCCUUAAUGAUGACACCCUUUUUCAUCAACCCUUUGAUGACAACACCCUUUCCAUCAACCCUUUGAUGAUGAUCUCUCAUUGGAAACAAAAAUCCCUACAAAAAUCCAAAUAACCAGUUGCAGUCCCACAUGCAUUGCAUGCAUCACUUCAUGCAUAAUUUUCCAUAGAAACGGAAAGUCCGCACUAAAGCCCAACCAUACUUGGCACAAUCAUAGACCCUUGCAUUUGCAUACCCCAGCAACCCGAGCUACACCAAACUUUCUGCAUACAUCAACAUUUUACAUGCAUAACAUUGCAUCACAACAUACUCUUCAUAUUGGGGCAAGUAUGUUUAGCAGAAGUUGGAUUCAAGCCUUUCUCGAAAGUGCAAGGGUCCCCGUGAACAACCCAACAGGUAUCCCCAAAGUAUCUCCUUUUAUUUGCCUUUUGCAAAUAUUGUUGGCCCUUUGUCAGUACCCCUCGCCUUUUGCGAGACCCUAUGCUUUUUGCAAGGGAAAACCCUGGUUUGCCUUUUUGCAAGCUCCUUGUACCUUUUGCACAAGAGAGUUUACCUUUAUCAACUUUGCAUGUUAAGGCAAAAAUGAGAGUGGACGAUUGACCUAUUCUCUUAAACGUUGUUCUUAAAACACCUGAUGUAGGUUUGGCAAGUCCCGAGUGGUAGCCAUAUUUCAAAAAUUUCAUCCCCGCGCCGUUGGCCUGAGGUUAUAUGAAUUUUUCGUGUCUACCAAUAAAUUUUCCCUCUACCUUGUGUAUGAUAACUACAUCUAUUUCACCUACCUUUUGCAAGUACUGCAUGUGCUUUUGCACACUUUCAAAAAUCAACACCUUCCCAGUCGUGCCUAGGGAAUGACACUGUUUCAAACUCAAAUCUUCCCUGCCGUUGCUAGGGAUUGACACUUUCAAAUUCUAACCUUCCAGCCGUUGCUAGGGAUUAACACUUCAAAAUCAAACCUUCCCAGCCGUUGCUUGGGAUUUACAUUUUCAAAUUCAAACCUUCCGCGCAUUGCUAGGGAUUGACACUUUCAAAAUUCAAUCUCCCCAACCGUUGUUAGGGAUUAAUAUCUUUAGAUUUCAGGUAUUCCAACCAUUACUAGGAAGUGUCACUGAACUAAGACCUCCCAGUCGUUGCUAGGGAUCUACACUUUAGAUUUAGGUUUUUCCAGCCAUUGCUGGAAGCGUCACUAAACUAAAACGCUCCUAGUCGUUGCUAGGAUUACAUUCUUUAGAUUUCAGGUAUUCCAGCAUUGGCUAGGAAGCGUCACUGAACUAAAACCUCCCCAGUCGUUGCUAGGGAUCUACACCUUUAGAUUUCAGGUAUUCUAGCAAUUGAUAGGAAGCGUCAUUGAACUAAAACCUCCCUAGUCGUUGCUAGGGAUCUACAUCUUUAGAUUUCAUGUAUUCCAGCCAUUGCUAGGAAGGUCACUGAACUAAAACCUCCCCAGUCGUUGCUAGGGAUCUACACCUUUAGAUUCAGGUAUUCCAGCUGUUGCUAGGAAGCGUCACUGAACUAAAAUCUUCUUAGCCAUUGUUAGGGAUUUUCACUAUCUUUUCACAUAAGAACUAUCCCCAACGAAGUCAUGUCCCUCUCAUCUUCCUUCUUGACCUUUUGUCAUGAAGCUUUUCUCUUUGUCUUCAAUUUAAAAGAGAUACUUAUGUACACACCAUAACAUACUAUGCAUAUCAUACACAUCAUGACAUAACCAUCAUACAGCUGACCCAUAUCCUCCCCACAUAAUACCCAUAAAAACUAUCCUCAACAGAUUGAUUUCAUAUCAAAUUUAUUUCCAUCCCAUGAACAACCUUCACACAAUACCCAUCACUUCAUAUCACAUUCACUUCAUUCUUAGUAGGGUGAAUGUUUGGAUAUUUUUAUUUAUUUUAAUCCUGCUCUUACCUUGGAUGUGUGGAAGUCGUUGCUAUCUAAACAUUCAGGUUCGAGAAGAUUAAAUAGGGGCAGCUGUCAUACCCUAAAAUUCACCCUACCUCGACUACAAUUUUCAUUUGAUCCAUGACCCUACUGCACUGCAUACAUUCAUUAUUUAAAAUAAAAAUAAAAAUUGGGUAACCGGUUCCACUAAUCAGGGUAACGAUUACCCAGACCAAAAAUUGAUUUUUUGGCCAUUUGGGACUGUGUAACCGAAUUUACCCCUAAUCAGGGUAACCGAUACACCUGCGCACGACAGCAACAAAUAACUCUAUUUUUACACAAAGGACCUUUCGUUCACCCCCUUCAACCCCUUUGCUUCCCUUAUAAAUAGAGCACUAUCCCCAUUCAUUUUCAAGCUUUAAAGCCAUAAAAACCUCUGUCCAAAUCACAUUCAAGCUCCCUCUUUUCAACCUAAACUCUAACUCACCCAAACCCUCUUUUCUCCUUUGAACACCCACACCACAUGUAAAAAUCCACAAACUCCACACAACAAAACAGUAGCAAGCUUGUGACUUCACUUACAUAAUCAUUCAUCACCAUCAAAUAAACAUUACAACUUCCUUCCUUCCAUUUUCUAACAUACAACAACAUAGCCACCUCUUCCAGCUUUUUGCUUCACCCUCAAACCCAAACACAACAACAACCUAGUUUUGACACCACAAUAUUGGUAAUAUUUGGACUCAAACUCCUUGACAUUUUUUUUUGGUUUUGUUUUGUGUUUGGAAAUGGGUUUUUUACUCUUGGGUUGUGUUUUGAGAGAGUUUUGAGUCAACUCUAGACAAGUGUUUUUUAUUUGGGUUUACACCCUUUUGGGGAUUUUUUGCUGCUUACUACUUUUAUCCAUCAUUUCAAUCAAACUUUAUUUCUUGUUAUCAUUUAUAUUAUUGGUUGAUGAGAUUUAUUUAAAUCAUGACUAUGGUGUGUUUAGAGUUGAUAAACCUUCAAUGUUUCAAACCUAUUAAUGAUGAUCAUAGAUCCUUCAUGAUACUUUGAGGCAUGAUAGGUUGCCUCUAUUUCAACAUGUUUGGGUCAUUUGAUACAUAGAUGAAACACAUUCUCUUUACAUUAACUUGUUAUUCUAUUUGCUUAUUGUUAUUCUAUAACCACUAACCAUUAACUACUAACUUCUAACUUUAUAUAUUGCACUUUACUUCCUUGGCAAUUUAUUUAAUUAUUCAUAACCAUGGACUUAUGGUUGCAUAACUUUCUUUGUUAGCAAAAUCUAUUCUAGUUGAUUUUUCAAUCAUCUUCAAUACUUUGCAUCAAUGAUAAGAUAUCCCUUAAUGUGUCAUUUAACAUUCACUAACCAUUAUUAUUGUGAUAUUAUCAUUCUUAUCUUGUGAUUUACUUUUAUGUCAUUCCCUGUAAUUUACUUCAAGUACUCAUUAUCAUCAUUAUUGUACAAACUUAUCAUGCAUGUUUAUUUACUUGUUAUUUAUUUUAUUGUCAUCAUACAUUAAAAGCAACAAAAACAUGGAUAAAUGGAAAGACUAAAAAUAUUCAUUCCACUCUUAUCAACUUGGACUUAGAGGAUUUCAUCUUAGGACCUUUGCUUGGAGGCCUUCCUUCACUCUUUGUGAUACUUUGUAAAAACUUUAGAUUUUCAUUCGUAACUUACAUGCAUGUUGUAAGAAUGGCAAUCAUGGCACCACCUUAGGGGGACAUGUUGUAAGAUCAUUAUCCUUUGUUUAGCUUAGGUCACUUUUGCACACAAAAGACUUUUCUCUUGGACUACCUUACAUGAGACCUUUUAAUUUCUUGUUGGUUACUUUGCAUUCAUGUUGCAAUAAGUCAAUUUUCAUAAUCAAAAUAAAACAAACCUUGAUUCAACGUCAAGUGGCAUUUUUGUAGUCAAAUUCAAAACAUUAAUAAUUACGCAUUGGUUAUUGUGCACCACGAGCCUUAAAUGGUGUGGAGAAUGAGUGAGACAUGGGGAAUUCUUACCCUUACUCUGAUUCAUUUUGGAUGCAAGACGCUUGGCUUGUUGUCUAGAAUAAUCACUCCGCCCAUAGACUUUAGUAUAAUAUAAUCUUAAACAUUCUUUCAUAAAACCUUAUUCAAGGUAAAAAACAAUACAACUCAUCAACUCAUUUUUGUGCCUAGGGAAUCAUCGUGAAAACCCUUUUCUCAAAGGUAAAAUACACCAACACACAAACAUUUUCUACUCCGAACUACGGAGCUCUGUUCCUCAUCCCGGAUGAGUGAUACAUAGCCAGCAAUGGCCACAAUCCUUGGAGAGCACUAUAAUAACAAAAACACCCCAUUCUUUUCACCCAUUCUUUUGAAAAUAAAACGAUAAUAGAUAAAUCCCAUGUAUGUAAAACAACCCAAAUGGUUCCCAUGGAGUACCAUGGACGUAAGGGGUGCUAAUACCUUUCCUCUUACGUACCGACUUCCGAACCCAAAUCUCAGUUGCGGAACCGAUUCCUUAUUCUCUUUAGCGCUUCCCGUGGCGUGUCUCUUUUCCGAGGGUUUUAAUCGACUAUUUCCCCCUCUCCUCUCAAUUAGAGGUAACUAAAUAAAAUUCGGUGGCCUCUCCUGACUUUGCCUCUCUUUGGCAUCUCUUAGUAUCGGUUUCGUUAUCGUGAAUGCCUGGUAGUGACACUUAUUAUUUAGAAAAAUGUUUAUUCAUUGAUCUAUUUAUUUUCAAAAUUAUCAUCAUAAAAUUUAAUUUAUUAAACAGAACAAAGUAAGAAUAACAAAUAAUUGGAUAAAAGCUCAGUUUUAUUUAAUAAGAGUGGGAGUCCGCACAGGCGGGACUCCAUGGACUUUUAUAAAGUUUGAAAAAUGGCAAUUUAACAUGGAAAAGGGCUACAUUGAAUAUAAUGACCACUACUCUUCCUUACCAACUUUGAAAUCCAUUGUAAUUAUUGUCUUUGGUUGAGAAUGAUAAUCAGGACUAAAUGACUAAUUUGUGCCUAGAUUUCCCCAAUGUGGGCGUACUCAAUCUACCGGAUAAAAUUUCUGUUUUAUGUCUCUAACUUUUGCUUGGAUCUCCCUUUCGGUUCUCACUCACACCGAGACACCAUUUUUCUAAGUCACCCUUUCGGGUUUUCAACUUAGCGAGUUAUUCUUUUCUUUUUUAGGCGAAGUAUUUCUUGACUAGAUCGGCGUUCCCACAGGACGCAUGAACUUUCACCGUCAAUAGUUGUAAGAAUCAAUGCACCGCUUGAAAAGGCUCUCUUAACAACAUAGGAACCUUCAUAAUUAGGAGUCCUUUUCCCAUAACAUCAGAUUUAAAAGAUAGAACUUCUUGAGGCAAGAGUCACCAUCUCUGAAACACGAGGUUGACCUUCUUAUCAAAAGCUUUCUUCAUUCUCUGCUGAUACAACUGACCAUGACACAUGGCAGUCAAUCUCUUCUCUUCAAUCAAAUUAAGCUGAUCAAACCUGGUAUGACACUAUUCAGCUUCAGUCAACUCUGUCUUUCAUCAACACACGCAAUGAGGGAUCUCAACUCUACGAGGAGCACAACUUAACAUGCCAUAAACACGAGAGAAAGGGUUACCCCAGUUGAAGUACGUAUGAUGUACGGUACCCAUGCAAAGCAAAUGAGACCAUCUCAUGCCAUCCUUAUACUCACAACACAUCUUCUAGAUAAUCUUCUGAUAUUCUUAUUCGCCAACUUCAACAACCCCAUUCAUCUUAGGUCUUUAAAGAGAAGAAUUAUGAUGUCAAUCUUGAUGUUUUUACAAAGAGCUUCUACACAUAUUGUUAUUUCAAGUUCAAUCCAUUAUCAAUAAUGACCUUACUUGGCACCCAUAUCGGCACAUAUUAUCUGAUUCUUGAUAAACCUCACAACAACUUACUUGGUCACACUUGCAUAUGAUGUCUCUUCAACCCACUUUGUGAAGUAAUCAAUAGCCACAAAGAAACGAUGUUCGUUUGAUGCUUUGGGCUCAAUCAUGCAAUCAUACCAAUUUCCCACAUGGAUAGGGUCAUGGAGAGGAAGUGACAUUCAAAAGUGUCGAAGGAACAUGAAUAUUAUUCGCAUAAAUUUGACACUUGUGGCAUUUCUUCACAAACUUGCAAUAGUUAGAUUCCAUUGUCAGCCAAUAUUAACAUACUCCCAACAUCUUCUUUGCAUAACAUAUCCAUUGGAAUGAGUUCAUGGACUUUGUCAUCAACAGGUUUGCUUCGUGUCUAUCCAUGCAUCUAAGGCAAAACCCAUAUCGAAAUUUCCUCUUAUAAAGCACAUCACCAUUCAGGUAGAAUUGUCAGCUAAUCUCCUUAAAGUCUUCUUAUCUUCAAAGAUGCCCCAGGCAGGUAUAUCUGACUUUGGAGGAAACAUUUGAUAUCAUAAUACCAAUGGCUUUUCAUCCUUGAUUUCUUCAACAAUAAAUACAUGGGUUGGCCUAUUAAGACGUAUCGACAGUCAUAUUAGGAACUUCAUUCCAAAACUUCACCAUAAUCAUUGAAGCCAAACGUGCUGGAGCAUUUCCAUCUGAUUUUCUCUUGAUGGAUAUAUGAAACUAAUUCUUUGCAAAGAAAGUUGAUAUCCUCAUCGCAUAAUCUUUAUACGGUAUCAAACCGAGUUGGUUUCGUCUCCCAUUCACCUUUGAUCUGGUUAACCACUAAAGUUAAUCUCCAUAGACGUCGAGAUACUUAAUUUUGAGAUCAAUGCUUCUUCAAGCCCCAUAAUGCAAGUUUCAUACUCAGCCAUAUUAUUUGUACAUUUGAAGGUCAAUCUAGUUGUAAAUGGAAAAUGAGUGCCUUGAGGAGUAAUAAUCAUUACCCCAAUGCCAUUACCAUAUAAAUUAACAGCUCCAUCAAAUACCACGCCCCAACGGGAACCAGGUUUUGCCCUUCUUAAGCAAUGGUUCAUCAUAAUAUUUCAUCUCAAAUACAAAAUCUCUUCGUCGGGAAAAUCAUAUUGUACUGACUGAUAAUCUUCAUAGUGGUAAGCCAAGUGUUAGCCGACGAUAUACCUUAAUAGCUUUUUGAGCUUGGUAUCAUAUCAUACUCAAAUAACAACAUCUGCGACGGGCAAUCCUCCCAGUAAAAGCAGACUUCUCAAAACUGUACUUGAUUGAAUCCAUCUUGGAUAUCAACCAAUAAUAUGAUUAACAUAUACUGCGCGAGACGUUUAGUAGCCUAAGCCAAAGCACAACAUGUCUUCUCAGCAUCAGAAUACGGAGACUCACAAUUAGUGAAAUUCUUACUGAGGUAGAUAUUCCUUUCUUACCAAAUUCAUUCUUGCUAAACCAAGAACAAAACUCAUACUCUCAUGCAGCACAAUCAAAUACAUGAUCAAAGGUUUUCCUUCAAUAGACGGAGACAGAAUUGGAGGUUCAAGCAGAAUCUUUGAUAUUGUCACAAAGCUUUCUGGCAAAUCCUCAGUCCAAUCACCAAGACUGAUCUUCCUGAAGGAGCUUGAAUAUAGCGGUGCACAUGUGGCAUUCAUGAUGCGAUAUAAAUUAUGAGAUAUAUUUCACGCGGCCAAGAAAACCUCUGACCCGCUUCUCAGUUUUGGGCACAAGUAUCUCUGUAUUGCUUGACCUUGCAUGAUCAACUUCAAUACCCUUCUCACUGACAAUAAAAGUCCAACAACUGCCAGAUUGAACACCCAACAAGUACACUUAUUCGGAUUCCAAGCGUAGUUUAUACUCCCCAAACAGUGGAAAUAUCUUCAAUAAGUUCCCACAUGUUUUCUUCAGUCCUUGAUUUAUCAUCAUAUCAUUCAACAUAGAUCCCAAUCUCUUUGUGUGCAUCAUAUCAUGGAAAAGAGUGGUCAUGGCUCUCUGUGCCACUUCACGACAUUCUUUUAAAACCGAAAGCAGCUCAGCUCGAUAAACGGAAUGUCCCAAGGUGUAAUAAAUAUGGUAUUUAUCCAAUAUCUUUGGUGCCAUUAUACUGAUUCUAACGGAAAAUCAAUCCAUAAAACAAAAAGAUAUGAAUUUAGCCUAUAUUAUCUACUAACAUAUCAAGUUGUGGCGAGGAAUAUUCAUCUUCAGACUAGCUUUUAUUCAAAUAUGUAAUCAUAAUACACACUAUCGGAAUUUCGUUCUCUUCUUAGGAACAUGCACAAUAUUGCCACCCCAUUGCAGAUACUUAGAGGUAACCAGAAAACCAAUAUCAAUCUGCUCUCCCACCUUGCACCUUUUUCUCUUUAAAUCUUCAUGCCAUAUCAGGAGAUUCCUUCUCAAUUUCUGUGCUUUGACUGGUGAAGCACGUCUGGCCUUCAAAGGCAAUCCAUGCUCCACAAUAUCAGUGAUCAAGACUCUAGAAUAUUCUUGCAUACGGAUCGCAAGCAACGCACAUCAGAGUAUUCUCGGAGAAAAUCAACUAACCCUUCUAACCUCUAACCAACAGCUCACGACCCAAUUGACUUCCUGACAUCAUCUUUGGAAACCCUAAGUUGACUACUUCAACUCCUCGCUCUUCAAAUGACUGAGUGGCUCUCCUCUGUGCUCAAGCAAACAGGAUUAACUCAUCAGGGCUUCUUAUCAUCAUUCUCUUCCUCAACUUCAAACCACAGGGAGAUCAAAGUUUAGAGAGGGAAGUAGGAUCNAUCUUUUCAGUGGACAUACUUGGAUUUCUAAAACUACCAUAAACAUAACAUUAGCAUAAAUAGUUUUACUUGUGAAUGAGCAUUGACAUCAAGAGCAUUUUCACAAUGAACAUGACUUGAGAAGUUUUGGUCACCCAAAAGAGGCAAAUUUCCCGAGGACUCCGAUGAGUAAAGGCCAUCCCCUUAGAUUAAUCUCACCAGGGGGAAAGGCAUCUGAGAACUCCGUCGAGCAAGCCACUUCAAGAUCCAGUCAGUCUGGGACAAUCACGUCGAGAUUAGGCAAAUAUCUCCAAAGGCAGUUGGCCAGGGGCAUUCCCUCAAAAAUUAACCAGUCAGGGGCAAAAUCCAUUCAAGGUUUCACACCAGAGAAGACCACCUCAAAAGCAUGAGAAAGUCAAAACACUCAAAGAGAUGGAUGAAUAGGGGUAGGCAGAUCCAAGACGCUGGGGUAUAUCAGAUCAAGAUUACUCUACCCAUGGUUUGCUUCAUAACUUGUAACUGGGGCAGUCCAUGUAGAUACCUAACAGAUUGAGGCAACACUGGCCAUGGAGAGGAAGCAUUUCCUUAUAUUUUGGAUUUUCUUGCUCAGAUCAAGCAUGGGGAAUCAGAAUAUCCAGACCAAGCUCACAACGUCAUCCAGGUUCAAAGCAAAUGUCGGGAAGUCAUGCUAAAGACAUCAUCCCAUAACUUGUCAACAAUGAGCCUUGAAUUCAAGAAAAAAUAUUUCCCAGUUCCAACCAUUCUUGACCCACCUCAAGGACAUUUAUUGAACUAUCCAAAAUAAUUGCAUCAAUCAUUAUGCACCAACCAUGUUGCUUCACUCAUACAUAUCAUGCAUCAUGCAUAACAUGAAGCCCUCCCCCAACAAGAAUAAUGAAGCCAACCCACACUUGAUACCUUUCAAAAUUAAAGCCUACUUGGCAAACCCAAAAAUAUAAUCAUCAUCAGAUCCAGCCUGAUCCCGUCCAAACCAAAAUCCAAAAGCCCAAUCGUUAUUGGCACCUCCCAAAACAAAUCUCUAUCAUUAACCAUAAAGCCCAAUCGUUAUUGGCACCUCCCAAACACAAUCUCUAUCAUUAACCAUAAACCCAAUCGUAUUGGCAGCUCCCAAAAAAUAAUCUUUAUCAUUAACCAUAAUGCCCAAUUGUUAUUGGCUCCUCCAAAACAAAUCUCUAUCAUUAACCAUAAAACCCAAUCGCUAUUGGCAUCUCCAAAACCGAAGCCACUUUGCUGGAAUCUUCAUAAACUCAAAUCCAAUCAACUUGGUACCCAAAAAGUCUCACCUCCCCAAAAGGGAGAUCAAUCAAAUACAAUCAAUAUUCAUCUUGCAUUACCACAUGCACUGCAUACAAUAAACACACAUGACCUUCUUUCAAAAUAAGAAAGUUGCAUAUCAAAAAGCUCUCUCACAAAAAUGAGAAAUUCUCAUUAACAUGCACCAUAUGCAUACAUAACAUAAUAACUCCUUCCCAUCAACCCUUUGAUGAGGACAUAACCUGCCUUAAUAUUUUCUGUCAACCCUUUGACGAAGACAAAUUACCUUUCCGUCAACCCUUUGACGAUGACAAACUUUUUUCCAUCAGCCCUUUGAUGACGACAUUUUACAACAGUUUCUUUCCGUCAACACUUUGACGAAGACAAAUUACCUUUCCGUCAACCCUUUGACGAUGACAAAUUUCUUUUCCAUCAUCCCUUUGAUGAUGACAAUAUUUUCCGUCAACCCUUUGACGAUGACAAAAUUACCUUUCCGUCAACCCUUUGACGAAGACAAAUUACCUUUCCGUCAACCCUUUGAUGAAGACGAAUCCUUUUCCAUCAACCCUUUGACGAAGACAAAUUCUUUCCUAUCAACCCUUUGACGAAGACAAAUUACCUUUCCGUCAACCCUUUGACGAAGACAAAUUACCUUUCCGUCAGCCCUUUGACGAUGACAAACUCUUUUCCGUCAACCCUUUGACGAAGACAAAUUACCUUUCCGUCAACCCUUUGACGAUGACAAACUUUUUUCCGUUAACCCUUUGACGAAGACAAAUUACCUUUUCGUCAACCCUUUGACGAUGACAAACUCUUUUCCGUCAACCCUUUGACGAAGACAAAUUACCUUUCCGUCAACCCUUUGACGAAUGACACACUCUUAUUCCAUCAACCCUUUGAUGACGACACCCUUUUCCAUCAACCCUUUGAUGAUGACACCCUUUUCCAUCAACCCUUUAAUGAUGACACCCUUUUUCAUCAACCCUUUGAUGACAACACCCUUUCCAUCAACCCUUUGAUGAUGAUCUCUCAUUGGAAACAAAAAUCCCUACAAAAAUCCAAAUAACCAGUUGCAGUCCCACAUGCAUUGCAUGCAUCACUUCAUGCAUAAUUUUUCCCAUAGAAACGGAAAGUCCCACUAAAGCCCAACCAUACUUGGCACAAUCCAUAGACCCUGCAUUUGCAUACCCCAGCAACCCGAGCAUACACCAACUUUCUGCAUACAUCAACAUUUUACAUGCAUAACAUUGCAUCACAACAUACUCUUCAUAUUGGGGCAAGUAUGUUUAGCAGAAGUUGGAUUCAAGCCUUUCUCGAAAGUGCAAGGGUCCCCGUGAACAACCCCAACAGGUAUCCCCAAAGUAUCUCCUUUUAUUUGCCUUUUGCAAAUAUUGUUGGCCCUUUGUCAGUACCUCGCCUUUUGCGAGACCCCUAUGCUUUUUGCAAGGGAAUUUUUGCAAGGGAAAACCCUGGUUUGCCUUUUUGCAAGCCUCCUUGUUACCUUUUGCACAAGAGAGUUUACCUUUAUCAACUUUGCAUGUUAAGCAAAAAUGAGAGAUUGGACGAUUGACCUAUUCUCUUAAACGUUUGUCUUAAAACACCUGAUGUAGGUUUGGCAAGUCCCGAGUGGUAGCCAUAUUUCAAAAAUUUCAUCCCCGCCGUUGUGCCUGAGGGAUAUAAUGAAUUUUUCGUGUCUACCAUAAAUUUUCCUCUACCUUGUGUAUGAUAACUACCAUAUAUAUUCACCUACCUUUUGCAAGUACUCAUGUGCCUUUUGCACACUUUCAAAAAUCAAACCUUCCCAGUCGUUGCUAGGGAAUGACACUUUUCAAACUCAAAUCUUCCCUGCCGUUGCUAGGGAUUGACACUUUUCAAAUUCUAACCUUCCCAGCCGUUGCUAGGGAUUAACACUUUCAAAAUCAAACCUUCCCAGCCGUUGCUUGGGAUUUACAUUUUCAAAUUCAAACCUUCCCAGCCAUUGCUAGGGAUUGACACUUUCAAAAUUCAAAUCUCCCCAACCGUUGUUAGGGAUUAAUAUCUUUAGAUUUCAGGUAUUCCAACCAUUACUAGGAAGUGUCACUGAACUAAGACCUCCCCAGUCGUUGCUAGGGAUCUACACUUUUAGAUUUUAGGUUUUCCAGCCAUUGCUAGGAAGCGUCACUAAACUAAAACCUUCCUAGUCGUUGCUAGGGAUCUACAUCUUUAGAUUUCAGGUAUUCCAGCCAUUGCUAGGAAGCGUCACUGAACUAAAACCUCCCCAGUCGUUGCUAGGGAUCUACACCUUUAGAUUUCAGGUAUUCUAGCAAUUGAUAGGAAGCGUCACUGAACUAAAACCUCCCUAGUCGUUGCUAGGGAUCUACAUCUUUAGAUUUCAUGUAUUCCAGCCAUUGCUAGGAAGCGUCACUGAACUAAAACCUCCCCAGUCGUUGCUAGGGAUCUACACCUUUAGAUUUCAGGUAUUCCAGCUGUUGCUAGGAAGCGUCACUGAACUAAAAUCUUCUUAGCCAUUGUUAGGGAUUUUCACUAUCUUUCACAUAAGAAACUUAUCCCCAACGAAGUCAUGUUCCCUCUCAUCUUCCUUCUUGACCCUUUGUCAUGAAGCUUUUCUCUUUGUCUUCAAUUUAAAGAGAUACUUAUGUUACACACCAUAACAUACAUUGCAUAUCAUACACAUCAUGACAUAACCAUCAUACAGCUGACCCAUAUCCUCCCCACAUAAUACCAUAAACUAUCCUCAACAGAUGAUUUCAUAUCAAAUUUAUUUUCCAUCCCAUGAACAACCUUCACAAAUACCCAUCACUUCAUAUCACAUUCACUUCAUUCUUAGUAGGGUGAAUGUUUGGAUAUUUUUAUUUAUUUAAUCCUCUCUUACCUUGGAUGUGUGGAAGUCGUUGCUAUCUAAACAUUCAGGUUCGAGAAGAUUAAAUAGGGGCAGCUGUCAUACCCUAAAAUUCACCCUACCUCGAUACAAUUUUCAUUUGAUCCAUGACCCUACUGCACAUGCAUACAUUCAUUAUUUAAAAUAAAAAUAAAAAUUGGGUAACCGGUUACCCUAAUCAGGGUAACCGAUUACCCAGACCAAAAAUUGAUUUUUUGGCCAUUUUGGGACUGUGUAACCGAUUUACCCUAAUCAGGGUAACCGAUUACACCUGCGCAGACAGCACAAAUAACUCUAUUUUUUACACAAAGGACCUUUCGGUUCACCCCCUUCAACCCCUUUGCUUCCCUUAUAAAUAGAGCACUAUCCCCAUUCAUUUUUCAAGCUUUAAAGCCAUAAAACCUCUGUCCAAAUCACAUUCAAGCUCCCUCUUUUCAACCUAAACUCUAACUCACCCAAACCCUCUUUUCUCCUUUGAACCACCCAACGUGGUACAUUUUUAGGUGUUUGAGGUGUGUUGUUUUACAGUAGCAAGCUUGUGACCUUCACUUACAUAAUCAUUCAUCACCAUCACAUAAACAUACAACUUCCUUCCCUUCCAUUUUUCUAACAUAACAACCAUAGCCACCCUCUUCCAAGCUUUUUGCUUCACCCUCAAACCCAAACACAACAACAACCUAGUUUUGACACCACAAUAUUGGUAAUAUUUUGGACUCAAACUCCUUGACAUUUUUUUUGGUUUUGUUUUGUGUUUGGAAAUGGGUUUUUACUCUUGGGUUGUGUUUUGAGAGAGUUUUGAGUCAACUCUGAGACAAGUGUUUUUUUAUUGGGUUUACACCCUUUUGGGGAUUUUUUGCUCUUACUACUUUUUAUCCAUCAUUUUCAAUCAAACUUUAUUUCUUGUUAUCAUUUAUAUUUAUUGGUUGAUGAGAUUUAUUAAAUCAUGACUAUGGUUGUUUAGAGUUGAUAAAACCUUCAAUGUUUCAAACCUAUUAAUGAUUGAUCAAUAGAUCCUUCAUGAUACUUUGAGGCAUUGAUAGGUUGCCUCUAUUUCAACCAUGUUUGGGUCAUUUGAUACAUAGAUGAAACCAUUCUCUUUACAUUAACUUGUUAUUCUAUUUGCUUAUUGUUAUUCUACUAACCACUAACCAUUAACUACUAACUUCUAACAUUUAUAUUAUUGCACUUUACUUCCUUGCAAUUUAUUUUAUUAUUCACUAACCAUGGACUUAUGGUUGCAUAACUUUCUUUGUUACAAAUCUAUUCUUAGUUGAUUUUUCAAUCAUCUUCAAUACUUUGCAUCAAUGAUAAGAUAUCCCUUAAUGUGUCAUUUACAUUCACUAACCAUUAUUAUUGUGAUAUUAUCAUUCUUUAUCUUGUGAUUUACUUUUAUGUCAUUCCCUUGUAAUUUACAUUCAAGUACUCAUUAUCAUCAUUAUUGUACAAACUUAUCAUGCAUGUUUAUUUACUUGUUAUUUAUUUUAUUGUCAUCAUACAUUAAAAGCAACAAAAACAUGAUAAAAUGGAAAGACUAAAAAUAUUCAUUCCACUCUUAAUCAACUUGGACUUAGAGGAUUUCAUCUUAGGACCUUUGCUUGGAGGCCUUCCUUCACUCUUUGUGAUACUUUGUAAAAACUUAGAUUUUCAUUCGUAACUUACAUGCAUGUUGUAAGAAUGGCAUCAUGGCACCACCUUAGGGGGACAUGUUUGUAAGAUCAUUAUCCUUUGUUUAGCUUAGGUCACUUUUGCACACAAAAGACUUUCUCUUGGACUACCUUACAAUGAGACUCUUUAAUUUCUUGUUGGUUACUUUGCAUUCAUGUUGCAUAAGUCAAAUUUCAUAAUCAAAAUAAAACAAACCCUUGAUUCAACGUCAAGUGGCAUUUUUGUAGUCAAAUUCAAAACAUUUAAUAAUU
Molecule: long non-coding RNA, 59827 nt
Filed under: Lathyrus oleraceus (garden pea)
Lineage: Eukaryota; Viridiplantae; Streptophyta; Magnoliopsida; Fabales; Fabaceae
Description: Pisum sativum (pea) long non-coding RNA (PSAT_LNC035923)
Source: RNAcentral